Molecule: long non-coding RNA, 65433 nt
Filed under: Populus tremula
Lineage: Eukaryota; Viridiplantae; Streptophyta; Magnoliopsida; Malpighiales; Salicaceae
Description: long non-coding RNA (PTRE_LNC000110)
Source: RNAcentral
AUUCCUAGAUGGGGUGGUGCAAACAGCAGAGGAGCUAGUAGAUGAUGAACACCCAUUACAGUACAAGCCCUUUGAACACCUGAAGCUUCUUGAUUUCUAUGAAUCAUCCAAUGAUCCGGAUAAACGUGACAUCAAUAUCAUGAAAACCUACUGUGGUGUUUAAUACUCUAAAAUGUAAUGACAUGUCUCCUUUUCUUUUGUUUUUCCUCAGUCGAUUGUUUUCAACCAGUCUUAUUUGUACCUCUUGGGUGAAUGAAAUGUUUAAUUAUUUGGUGAAGGCUAGGAGUCAUGUUCUACCUUGGGAUUAUUGAUCUUGUUUGCAAACAACUUUUAAUUUUACGAUUAGAUCUCUGAAGUUUCAGAAAUUCUAAAUUUAAGCCCUUCCAUCAAUAUCUUUCUAUAUUGUUGUAGGAAUUAUUUAUUGCAGAGAAUAUUUAAGGCCUUCCAUCAAUAUCUCUAAAAAUAUUUGAAUUAUUUGAUAACAAAAUUAACAUUACCAGAAAUUCAACUAGAACCAUCAGAAUUACCGGCGCAAUUUUUCUAUUGGUAAUUUACGUCCAUCAGUUCAAUAAGACCCCAACAAAUUUGAGUCCAACAAAAGCUUUAGCCAAUUCAAGUCUAGUAAAGAUCUUGGAAGAUUCCUUUAAAUUCAACCCUAUUAAUUAGAAAAUCCAACUCUAUCAACAUAAAUGAGAGUCAACUCUUUAAUCAGGAAGAUCCAAGAAAAUUCAACCUACUAGUCAAGAAAUUCAACCCUACCAUCAGGAAUUAGCGUCAACCUUACAAUCAAGAAGCUCCAUGGAAAUUCAGCCUUAUUAAUCAGGAAAUUCAAACAUGCCAUCAAGAAACAAUGGCAACUUUAUAAUCAUGAAGCACAAAGAAAAUUCAACCAAGAAAAUUCAAAUUUUUUUUUGUAUUUUGGAAGUUUUGAAAAAAACCAGGUAUUUUAAUACCGGAUUUUGUAUUUUUUUCAAAAUAAAAUAUUUGUUAAAUGUGUUUUUUUUUUAUUCUGGAAAUGGGCUGCACCCGACUCAAAUUAGUGGUUUGUGCUAGGCUGGAUUCAGCCCAAAACUAAAGGGGCUAGUUACUGUGCAUAAGAGCCUUUUUUUUCUUUUCUUUUCUUCUUCUGCUCGAAGAGUUGCUGCUGCUGGUGGCAAUGGAGAGGAGGCGCAAUGGUGGCGCUGCUGGGUUAAAGGUGGCCGGUGGUGGUUGUUCUUCUACUCCAAUUCCCCAAACAUUUCAUCCUAAUAUGCUUCAAACAAGAUUAGACAGCAGGUUCGUGUUCAUAUUAGGGGUGUCUUCCAAUUCUAUCUACCCGGCCUUAAUUAAUUGUAGAAACGUUUUUUUGAAGGCGUUGCAGGUAUUGAUGUUAUGCCUAGCAAUACCAGCAUGCUAUUCACAAUUGAGUUCUGGCUUGUACCAAUUAGGAUAAGGUGGCUGUAGAGGUGUCAGAGGUUUUGGAGCUAUCUGUCUGAUGCUCAAUAGUUUUUGAUACAUCUCAUUCAGGGGUAGCGGUAGUGGAGGUAGUUACCCUUAUGGGAAUUUGCUUAUUUUAGAUGAUUUAAAUUUCAUUGAAAAAUUAAAUUAAUACAUUUAAAAGAAUUUCCAACAGAACAACUAAUUUAAUCCUAUAAUGAAUUCAAUUCACAAUAAAGAAAAUUUUCGAUAUGCAGUGGAAGAAGAAUUGAAAAGGCCCAGUAGUUUACAAUUUAAAGAGGUUUAAUUCGUGGGUAGCUAGCCUAUGUUCAUGUGCUAGGCAGAGCCGAAUCUUAAGUUUUCUUUUUGGGACUUCUUGAAAGACGAGGACAUGUUUCUUAAUUGAAUAGGGCACCACUUCUAGGACAAGGCCCAAUAGAUGGUGAUGGAUGAAAUGUAUGCAUAUUAAAGGAAACAAAAAAAUCAAAUCAAUUAAAUAUUAAUAGAUAAAAACAAAUUUAAUUAAAGAAAUAACAAAAUUAGAACCCACCUCAAAAUAACUUAUGAUUCGGGUUAUAAGAUUAUAAUAGCUUCAUAAAAAGCAUAUUGAAAUAAAUUAUGAAGUUUAAUUCGUAAAGAACUUAAUAUUAAAAGAUGAAAUUGAAAAUAAAAAUUAAAUAUUUAAUAAAAAAAACAAGUCACAAUUCUAAUAAACAAGGGUAAAAGUGAAUUCUGUUUAUUAUAAUUAUAAUAUCAUGUGUAUAUAUUUAAGAUGUUGUGAACAAUAAUGUAAGGUUAUAUGUGGUAAAUAAAUAUGUAGUUAAAUAAUUAAGAGUUAUAAAUGACCUUAAACAAUAGAUUAAUAAAUUAAAAAUAUCUUUAGAUAUAUAAAAAUUAUUAUAUAUACUGUAACACUGAAUACAAGAAUAAUUAGGCAUCAAGAAUUUUAUGCCAAGAAAAGAUUCCAAAUAACUUCGGCAUAAUAUGGACCACUCAUCUAACUAUAAAUUUAUAUGAUAUUGGGAAAAUAAUAAAUUAUCUCCUUAGUUUCAAUACCUCAACAAUGACCCGUUAAUUAAUUUUAUUAUGUAAAAUUAAUAACAUAAUCACCACUAUGAAUCAAGGACCAUUACUUUUUUUGUUCUUAGGGACCAGAUUUUGACCCUUCAAAUACAACAAUCAAAGCAUACGCAUUGGUGCACAUCUUGUCUUUGAUUUCAUAUAUUAAAAAAAAAAAUUGUGCCUAUAUAUAUAUACACAUCCUUGCUCAAUCGGGGCCUACUUUCUUAUAUUUAUUAUUUUUAACGUUAGGGACCAUAUUUUUUUUAAUUUAUUUUCUAUGGAAUCAGGGACCAGAUUUAGACCCUUCGCUACAAUUUAAAUCUCAUUGAGUAUAUAAUUAGAGAGAUACAAAUAUAUAUAUAUCUCCUUCCACUGCCUCAAUAAUGAUAUCGUAAUUGUCUAUUUUGGUUGAUGAGGUGUACCAAGAUUGAAUGGGAAACUUAACGUUAUUAUUACAUUCCAUCCAUUUAAUCUACAUCAUAAAAAGCUUUGUAAUUGAUAUUUAACCUGCUCCAUGCAAUAAAUAAUAAUUAAAAAAUUUAACGACUUCAUCAAACCUUUUUAUGAUAUAGAUUAAAUGAAUGGAAAGUCAAUAUAAGGUUUAAAAAAUUUUAUAUGAUUAAAAGUUAUAUUAGUUUUUUAAAGCAUUUUGGUCGUGUUCUGCUGAUAGUAUUUUAUAAUUUUAGGUUAUUAAUGAAAUUUGAUAAUUUAACUAUGAGUUUCAUUGUAAAACUCAUGUUCUAGAUAACUUAGUAGUUAUAUGACUCGCGCGAUGCUGCGGGUUAAUUUGUUUUGCAUAAAAAAUAUCAAAAAAUACUAAGAUCUAAGAAUAUUAGGUCUUUCUACAAAGAUAUAUUCAAAAGUCUUGGGUCUAGCUACAACGCUUGACCCAAUACUACUAUUUAUAAUAUUAAUAAUAAUAUUAAAUUUACAUGAAUUAAGUUUAAGUGAGCCUGACUGCAACAUUGAACCCAAGAGCAUUGAAGUUCUGCCUUUCGAGUCGUUUGCUUGAAUCAUGUUCACCAAGAGACAGAUUUUUUUGCAUAAGAAGAUGGGUCAACGCCCUUUUCAUUAACGCUUGGAUAAAAAUACAUUUAGAAAUAAAAGAAAUACAACAUGCUAAUCCCUUUCCUCCCUAAACUCUUUAGCCAAAGGUAAGAAAGCAAAGCCGCGGUUCUCAAUCUUCCCUAGAAAGGCAUCAGUUUCAGCUAGGCUUCGGCGAUAGCGAAUGAUGUCUCCCCCCACAUUCCGCGCAUUGAUUCUAACAAUUCGAGCAUGUGCAGCAGCUUCGUCCAUUUGCUCAUCUGUUUUGGUCAUUUUUUCUAUGAGCAACAUGUUGGUUCUGUUCAAAGCAGUGUUGUUGGCGUCGAUUUGAUCUUUGUGCUUUUCCAUUGCUACUAGCUUCUCGUCUAAAUACUUCGACUUUUCGCGUUCUUUGUCAAGCUUUAUCCUCAUGACUUUUAUCUCAUUCUUCUUGACUGCUAACUCUGCUUUAACAUCCUCGAAUCCUCCCUUUCGCUUUCCAACUCCAUAUAUUUCUUAUUCAAAUCCUCAUACUUCCUAAUCCUAUCCAUCAGCUCGAAUUGCACUUGCGCAAAUUUUUCUUGGUAAUAUUCUGCACUUUCUUGGCAAUCGCUAAAGUCCAUCUCCAUUGCUUCAAGUUCAGAGCAACUUUGCAUCCAAUCCAAACUCAACCCUUUAAGCUCCUUCUCACUUCCUUCCUUAGCAAUCUUCUCCUCAACCAACUUUAACUCCAGCUUUGUUAUUUUCAUCUCUAGACUGUAUUUGCUCAUCUAGAAAUGUUCUCAUUUUAUCCUGUUCUAGCAUCAUUUCUUCCAACAUUGCUUUGUCUUUUCUGCUCUUGCUCAAUUCUAUUCGUAGUUUUCCACUUGCCUUCUCAAGUCUUCUUCAUUACUAACCUCUUUCUCUUGAUAGGCUCCUCUUACAGUUGGAGAAGAUUUGACUUCUACACAAGGCAUGGCUGAAGCAGCUGAAUCAUCUUCAAUGUUCACCCUUUUUCUCUUAAUAGGCUCCGCUACAUCUUGAGGAGAUUUAGCUUCUACGCAAGGCGUGGUUGAAGUAGCUGAGUCUCUCCAUUUUACAUAUCCUUCGCUCACACUUGGAUCUCUCAACCCUUCUAUCUCCACCAACACUAGAUGCUUCCAAUCUUGCUUGAUGAUCUCCAAAACCUCUUCUGCCAUGGGAUCUUUGAACAAACCAGAGAAUUGAGCGAUUCCCAUAGUCCUGGGAACGAACUGCAUGCCCCCAAGUUGUCUUACCACUAAGGCAGGAGCAUAACUCACAUAACCCGUGAUCCCCACCAAUGGUACCCAACGCCUUUGUCCACAACUCAUUAGGACCUUCACUGUCGUUACCCAUGGGGCCCUCCACUUAAACUCGCUAUUAGGUAAACCUUCUAAUUUAUCAACCCAACCCUGGUUGUCUAGAUCUCCCCAUUCUUCUUCUUCUACUAACUUGAGGGGUUUUUGGGUGAACCACCAAAAAUUAUUGAAGACAGGUUUCUUUGUCUCGAUAUGGCUAACCAUCCAAAUAUACAACAGUUGCGUGCAGCAUCUCAUUGCUCCUUUUCCGGCCCUCCUACAAUGGUUAAGUGUCAAAAUUGUUUCGGCUAAAAUAGCAGCCACUGGAUUGAUUCGUGUAUUCUCAUACUCCACGUAAGCAGCAGCGGCCUCCAAACUCACUAAACCAAUCUGACUUGGGAACAACACAAGGCCAAAUAUACCUAGGGCAAUCAAUCUCUCUUUUUCUACUCCUGACUUCUUUUCCAAUUCUAGCAUCCUCCAUUUCAAACCGGUACCAUUCUUUUCCAGAAACUUUUCCAAGUUGGAGAUUCUGAGCAGCUUUGACAGUUCAGGGAUGAUCUUGUCGGAUCUUAAAGGAGAAUAAAUCCGAUACAGGUCGUUGGGAAACUCGGUCAACAAUCCAUAUUCCUCAACCGUGGGGCACAAGUCUAUGCUUCCAAAGGAAAAACAUCGGUAGUCUGGAUCCCAAAAAUGAACUAAAGCUCGCACAGCUGGGCUUAAAACUUCUACCUUUGCAAUUUCCAUCAAACGUCCGUAUUUCCUAAAAAAUGCAUCUUUAUCCACAUUCUGAAAAUGAGUCGUUAACUUGUUCACCUCAUUCAAUAUGCAAUUCAGGUUCUUGAUUGGUGACAUCUUCUUAGCAUCGCUUCUAAGGCAGUCUCCUUCAGUCAAUUGUGACAGUUCAGAAUUUUUUCCAUACUCUAAGAUGGAAGAUUUAGUGAUGAUGGCCAUUUCGUUCACAAGUCCUGCAAUUCAAAAUGCAUUGGGGUUUAGACUUGUUUUGAUGCAAAAGAUAUGUUGGAACAUACACCCUAAGGAUAGGUUCUAGUUUCUCUACGUGAGACAUAGGGUAGGUUUACUAUUGGGUCUCUAAAAGAGGGUCUCUUGCUGUUCCAGUGAUCAACCUUCGUAAAGGCGAUAUGGAGGUCUAGCAGAUAGUGGGAUGGUACGUGUACCAAUCACAAUCAGUCUAAACACUCAGCAAAGAGUUGGGGUUUACACAAACUUAAACCUUGACUCAAGUCAUAAGGCAAGCUGCUAGUCCCCCACUUAAACUUAAAGUUACAUGUGUGUGCCUCCAAAACAUAAUAAUAAUAAUAAAGUGAUGCAUGACUAUGCCAUGUAUGAUAGAAUGUAAAGAUAUAUGCUAAAGCUUUUAAACAAAGCAUCAUAAGAAAACAAAAACCAAUAACACAUAACAUAAACAAACAAACAAAUCAAGCUUAGUCCAAGAGUCCCCAGUGGAGUCGCCAUUCUGUCGCACCCCCCCAAAAAAAACGAAAAUUUGUUUGACGACAUUCGACUUUCGUUUUGUUUUACUGAUUUGGUGUUUUGGAGUUGCCACCUAGUAUUUUGGUCACUAGGAACCCUAAACUGGUUGCGUAAAGGGAAGGUAUUAGCACCCCUAAUACGCCCUACCUAAGGUAAGCUGCUCGGUGUUUGGUUUGCUCUUAUAAUCUAUGGUGUUGGUGUUUUCUAGUCUCGUCAAUUUAUUUUGGAUAGAAAUCUAAGGAGAUUCCAUGUGCUUUGAAAGCUCAUUUUUCCCUUAGUAUUUCAAAAGUUUGCGACUCAUAAAUCGUGGUAAAAAAAAUUAAAUUUUGAAAUGUCCUCGAUUAUAAUCAAGGCUUCUUUCAAGAAUGUGUGCGGAUUUAUUACUCCCAAUAAUAUUUUGGAUAUUCAUCCUUUUAAGGAUUUCUUUAUCCAAACAUUAGCGGUAAAUAAUAAAUAAAUUUCCUCCCAAAAAUAAGAUUUUUAUAGUUUUUUGGAAUAUUGGCCAAUACCCUUUGGAGUUUUACAAACAUGUUGUAAAAUCCAGAAAUGCAAGAAAAUAAUUUGUGUUUAAGAAAUCUAUGCGAAAACACACUUUCGAAGCUUCCAAUAUAUUUUUUUAUAAAAGAACAUUCAAAACAUGUUAGAGUAUUGGCCGUAUGCAACACGCAAGAAAACAUUUUUUUUUUUAAAUAUUGGCAAAUAACAAUUAAAAUUUUAAAAAAAAGAUGUAAAAACCAAAAAUGCAAAAAAAAAAUUUGUAUUUAAGAAAAAAAUGAGAAAACAAACUUUCAAAGCUUCCAAUAAAUUUUAUUUAAAAAAAAAAACAUUCAAAACAUGUUAGAGUAUUGGCCGUAUGCAACACGCAAGAAAACAUUUUUUUUUUGUAAAUAUUUGUUUUUUACGAAAACAGGUAUUUUAAACACUGAAUUUGUAUCUCCACGGUAUAAAAAUACAAACCAAUAUAAAAAAAAAUAAACAAAAUGUGCAGGAAAAAUCAACAAUAUUUUUUAUCUUUGAAAAUCUGGAUGUCUUGAUGAAAACCGGGUAUUUUAAAUACUGAAUUUGUAUCUCCACAGUAUAAAAAUUCAAACCAAAUGUAUAAAACAAAAAUAUAUAUAUAUGAAAAGAAAACAACAACAUUUUUUUUUAGAUUUUUCAGAUUGUUUUCAAAACAUAUAUAUAUAUAUAUAUACACACCUAAUAUAAUAAUAAUAAUAUAAUAUAAUUAUAAUAUAUUUAUAUAUUAAGGGAGCUGGGCCGGCCCAACUAACUGGGCCGGGAUCAACCCCACAAGUCAUUGGGCCGAGAUCGGCCCAAAAGUGACUAGGCCGAUUUCGGCCCAAGAAAAGUAUUAACUUGGUCUGGGCCGGACCCGGCCCAGACCGCCGGGUUGGGCCAGAAUCCUUCUAGCCCAUAUACCUGUUUCUGGGCCAGAAACCGCCAGACGGUUUCCCCCCUGUCCCCUGCAUGCAGAACGAUUCUGCAUGUAGGGGACGCAAUUUAUAAGUAAUACAAGAAAAAAAUGCAGGGGGAGAGAACGUACCUGGCGUGGCGGAGACGACAACUUGCUGGCGGUGCUGCUGUGGAGGCGGUGGCAGCGUCCUAACUCGCGGCGGCUCCUAACGGCGAUUUCCUAAGCAAACGAAAACGAAGUCCUCUCUGUUUGUUUUCUUGAUUUUUGUUUUCUAAAUUUCCUUCCAGUUUCAAACUUUCACUCUUCUCUCGUUUUUUUAGUUUUCGUUGGCUCUCUCUCCUCGGUUGGGUGUUUCUCUCUCUUCCUCUCUCUCUUCGGUUUUUCUUAGUUUUCUUCGGGUUCCUCUCUUUUUUUUUUCGUCCCUUGUUCUCUCUUUCGGUUCUCUAUUUAUAGAACCAGUGAGCGUGGCUUCAACGUGGAGCCAAGGAGCGGGUCGAGGAGCGGCUGUCCAGGCGGGCCUCCCUCGGCUUCGGCAGCGCGGCGGGUGGUCGGCCAAUGUCUUCUGUCGGUGGCCCACCGGCGUGGGGCCUCGGUUGGUCGGUGGCAAGAGGGACCUGCAACAAAUAAAAAAAAAACUUCUUUUUUCCUUCUUCCCCGCUGCAUGUUCUGGGGAAGAAGAAAGGUGAACAGUGCCGUUCAAAACGGCACCGUUCAGUCUUCUAUUUUUUUUUUUUAUAUAUGUAUGAAACGACGUCGUUUUGGAGAAAACGCGCCGUUUCAUUUAAAAAAAAGGCGCCAGAACCUUGUUUUUGAAUCAGUCCUUAAUUUAUCAUUUGUUCUAUUAAGUCCUUCAAUCGAGUCUUGAUUUUAAGAAUAAAAUUCAAUUGCGUCCCUGCCAAAUUCGGUCCCUACCCCUAUAGUUGGCCGUGUUUUUCACUUUGGUCCUUGGCCUCUGAUUUUCACAAUUAAGCCCCUAAUUGAUCAAUAAACUUCCAAUUUCUUCAAUUAAGCCCCUGAAUCAAUUCCAAACAGCCCCCUCUAUCUUUGCGCCUUCUCCAAAUUGGUCCCUGGUUUCGGAUUUUCACAAUUAAGUCCCUAAUUGGCCAUUAAACUUCAAUAUUUAUGCAAUUAAGCCCCUGAUUUGACCUAAUAAAUUCCUAAAAAAUAUAUAUUGGCCCCAGAACUUAAAUUUCUUCUAAUUAAGCCCAAAUUGACUUAAAAAUCAAUUUUUCUUGCAAUCAAAUCUUCUAUAAAUUCAAAUAAAAAUCCAAUUAAGUCCAUAAACAUCCAAAUUUGGGCUUUUCUCCUCAAAAUUCAAAUUUUCUUUCUUAAUAGGGCUUUCAUCCUUCAAGAAUAUACUGUCAAAAAUUCAAUCCUUGUAUUUUCAAAUUCCUUGACUAAUUUUCUGAUUGUUUUCUGAGCGCUUCUGCCUCCUGUUAUUUUUUCUAACCUCUUUUGGCUAUUUAUUUUAUUUUUUAUGGGGACCUAAAAAUGGGUUACAACACCAAGGAUGACAAGAAGAUCAAUGUUGAGCUUUCACCUUCGUCUUUUGUUGCCAUAGCUGGUGAUGCAUUAAAGGUGAGUCACUGAUUAUGAUUAUGUAUCUUUCAAAUUAUAUGCCAACCUAGCUGCUGUGGAUCAUAUGAAUCCAAUUAGAUAAUUAUUGGUGAGUCAAUGAUUAUGAUUAAUUAUUUGUCUAACGUACAGGCAUGGAGCAAUGACAGAAUAAUAUCUCCUAGCCACCGUGUUAUCAUGAACGGAAAGAUAGACAGAUACUCCAUGGGGCUGUUUGCUUUCAACAAUGGAAUAAUACAAGUUCCUGAAGAACUUGUUGACGAGGAGCACCCUUUAAUGUACAAGCCACUGGAUCAUAUUGGACUCCUUCGUUUCUAUCGGACAGAAGAGGGAUACAAAAGCAAAUGUCCUAUCAAGGCUUAUUGUGGCGUCUGAAAUUAAAGGGAAAAAUGGACUUGUACAAUAAUUAGUUGAUGCACUCUUCUGCUUGCUAUAUAAGGCCUGUUUCUAUGUAUUUCGAUUCCAACGCCAGUGUUUUCUUUUUCUUUUUCUGAAGGUUGAUGGUUUUUUUUUUCCUUUUUUUGUGCUUGCAUUUUAAAAUGUAUUAAUGCUUCGUACAAGAAGCAAUUUAAUGAAUGUCAUAUGUGGUUGUGGUUAGAAAACUGUUGUUCUUCAUGAUUAUGAUGCCAUAUCAACAAUCGUGUUGUUCUAUGAACAUUCACAAGCAUGAAAAUAGUGAUAUAUAUGGCCAUCACAGGGCUGGUUCAGCAUGAAGUGUUCGUUGAUCCUCUCGAGAAAGUCCGGGUUAAUUAUCCAAGUGAUUUAAUGAGCUGAAAAAUAUAAAAUACAUGGGAAAAUACAACAAAUUAAUCAUUUAAAAUGAGUCAUUUUUAAUGAAAAUGAGUCUCUCUCUCUCUCAAAUAGAUCAAAAAAGUAAGAUUAAUGUAUAAUCUUAGUAUUUGAUCCGAUAUUUUCCUGAGAGACAAAAAAUACAAAUUUAAAUAUAUCAAUUCAUUUUAAAUAUAUUUGGACAUAUGAUAAGAUAUUUAAAUAAUAUAUUUUUUUAUUUUUUAAAAAAUUAUUUUCAAUAUCAGUACAUCAAAAAGUUUGAAAAACCAAAAUAAAAUUAAUUUAAAAUUAAAAAAUUAAAAAAAAUUAAUUUUUUUUUAAAAUACUUUUAAAAUGUUAAUAACAAACACAAUCUUAAUUUCCCUGAUUCUAUUCCUGAAUCUCUCUUAAUUUGGACCGUCUGAAAAAUUAAAUCCUAAAUGAACUAGUCUGAUUAAUUAUAUUAGUGACACCCUCUAUAAACUAUACAUAAGAGUUAUCUUGUGAUGGAAAAAAAUAUAACAAUGAUCCUAUAAAUAAAUAAUUUAGUCGCUGUAUUUGGUUUCAAAUUAAACAAUUUAGAUUAUAAGAUGAUUAAGGUCAAUUCAAAAUUAUACUAUCUUAAUAUUCUUUUUAAAAUUAUAUUUUUAUUGAUUAUUUAAAUUAUAUUUUGACCCAUAUAACCCAAUAAUUAUAUCCAAUAUUUUCAUUUGUCUUGUUAUAGGUCGUUGCGAUACUAACAGUAUAAAUUAUGGAUGGGUAAAACACUAAAUUGUGCACCAUCUCAAACACACUCCAGCAAGAGAGAGCGACGACAACAAUCAUGGGUUCUGAAACAGUGCCAAAAAUUCCUGUUGUUCAUUUGUCCAAGGAAAACUUCGAGCCUGGCUCUAGUUCCUGGCUGGCGGCUUGCAAUGAUAUCCGGCGAGCACUUGAGGAAUACAGCUUCUUUGAAGUAGUAUACAGCGAACCUUCAAUUGAACUUUACAGGGAAAUUAUAUCGGUGCUAGAGGAAUUGUUCAAUCUCCCUGAUGAAACAAAAACCAGAAAUACACAUCCUAAGAUCGGCCACGGUUACAUGGGGAAAAUCUCUGGCUUCCCUGAGGGCUUGGGGAUCGAGUAUGCAACAAAGAAAGAUGAAUGUCAAAAAUUUACAAGCUUAUGUGGCCCGAUGGAAAUGAAAGAUUCUGGUAAGAUCUGCAUAUUAUUAUAUUAUGAUUAAAUAUUUCUCUUUUUCCUUUUCCUUCGACCGAUCAUCUGAAUCCUUGCAUAUAGCUGUAUCCUCCUAUGCUAACAUUAAUGUGAGCUUAAUUAGUAUGAUUUACUUGCUUUUUGUUUGUAUCUUUAGUGAUGUCAUCCACUCUUAUACGAAGAUAGCAUCUGAACUAAAUCAGAUGCUGGUAAGGAUGUUGUUUGAAAGCUAUGGAUUGAAGAAAGACUACGAGCCUCUCCUAAACUCAACAAAUUACCUCCUACGUCUGUUGAAAUAUGGAAGAUCACUCGGGGAGACGAAUGUUGGUUUUAAGGCUCAUAUGGACAAGACUUUCUUCACUCUACUUUAUCAAAAUCCUGUUAACGGUUUAGAGAUAAGAACCAAGGAAGGAGAGUGGAUUACGUACGAGCCUUCUUCACCAACUUCAUUUGCUGUCAUAGCUGGUGAUGUAUGCAUGGUGGGUUUAUCCUAUUUCUUAUUUUACAAGAUUCCUAUUUCAAACGAUACACACACACACACUUAAUGGAUUCAUAACUCUUGAUCAUGAAUUGUGUUGUUUGAAUAGAAAAUCUUGGUUGGUGUUGUGUAGGCAUGGAGCAAUGACAGGAUAAAAUCUUCUUACCAUCGAGUCGUUGUAAGCAGCGAAGAAGACAGAUAUGCACUGGGGUUAUUCACAUUCCUAGAUGGGGUGGUGCAAACAGCAGAGGAGCUAGUAGAUGAUGAACACCCAUUACAGUACAAGCCCUUUGAACACCUGAAGCUUCUUGAUUUCUAUGAAUCAUCCAAUGAUCCGGAUAAACGUGACAUCAAUAUCAUGAAAACCUUCUGUGGUGUUUAAUACUCUAAAAUGGAAUGGGAUUAUGCUGCUUGACAUGUCUCCUUUUCUUUUGUUUUUCCUCGGUCGAUUGCUUUAAACCAGUCUUAUUUGUACCUCUUGGGUGAAUCUCUAAAAUGUAAUGGGAUUAUGCUGCUUGACAUGUCUCCUUUUCUUUUGUUUUUCCUCGGUCGAUUGUUUUCAACCAGUCUUAUUUGUAUCUCUUGGGUGAAUGAAGUGUUUAAUUAUUUGGUGAAGGCCAGGAGUCAUGUUCUACCUUGGGAUUAUUGAUCUUGUUUGCAAACAACUUUUAAUUUUGCGAUUAGAUCUCUGAAGUUUCAGAAAUUCUAAAUUUAAGCCCUUCCAUCAAUAUCUUUCUAUAUUGUUGUAGGAAUUAUUUAUUGCAGAGAAUAUUUAAGCCCUUCCAUCAAUAUCUCUAAAAAUAUUUGAAUAAUUUGAUAAAAAUUAACAUUACCAGAAAUUCAACUAAAACCAUCAGAAUUACCGACGCAAUUUUUCUAUUGGUAAUUUACGUCCAUCAGUUCAAUAAGACCCCAACAAAUUUGAGUCCAACAAAAGCUUUAGCCAAUUCAAGUCCAGUAAAGAUCUUGGAAGAUUCCUUUAAAUUCAACCCUAUUAAUUAGAAAAUCCAACUCUGUCAACAUAAAUGAGAGUCAACUCUUUAAUCAGGAAGAUCCAAGAAAAUUCAACCUACUACUCAAGAAAUUCAACCCUACCAUCAGGAAUUAGCGUCAACCUUACAAUCAAGAAGCUCCAUGGAAAUUCAGCCUUAUUAAUCAGGAAAUUCAAACAUGCCAUCAAGAAACAAUGGCAACUUUAUAAUCAUGAAGCACAAAGAAAAUUCAACCAAGAAAAAGUGAACCUUGCAAGCAAGAAGCACCAUAAUGUUUAGCCAGCCUUGUGCGGCGUCGCGGAGAUCGUCCACCCUUAAAAAAAUGGAAAUGGGUCUAUCUGGAAAAUAUAGAGACACAAAGAAUUUUUGUCUUUAUCAGUAAAAUAUGGAUUGGGAGUCGCCACCUAGUAUUCUAGUCACUAGAAAUCCUAACUGGUCUUAGAGAUCAGGUAUGAACACUGGUUGCGUAAAGGGAAGGUACUAGCACCCCAACUACGCCCUACCUAAGGUAAGGUGCAUUGUUUUGUCAGAUAAAAUCUAAAGUCUUGUUGUGGUUUCUAAUUGUCGGUCCGUUUACGGUUUAAGAAAAGUCCUCAUCUGAAAGGAGAUCCUUACCUUAUCGGGUAAAAACCUAACUACUCUAAGUCAUCAAAAGAAAAUACCUUUUUAAUAUCGGGUGUACGUUUUAUGUAUAAAUUCAUAAUUCUUGAUACUAAAACAAAACAAAAUAAAAAUUUUGUUGUUUUUGAAAAUUUGGCCAAUGUUCUCUAGACUUUAAUAAACUGGUUAUUAAAGCCAAAAUGUAUGCUUAAACAUUGUUUUUUGGUGUAUGAAAAACAACAUGAUAUGAUUAUUUUUAGCUUUGAGACACUUGGCUGCAUGCAUAGAAAACAUUAUUUUUUCUUCUUUUCAAAUUUGUUUUUGUAUUUUGAAAGUUUUGACAAAAACCAGGUAUUUUAAUACCGAAUUUUGUAUUUUUUCAAAAUAAAAUAUAGACUGAUAUUAAGCAAUAGGACAUAGAAAAUACAUUGGAAAAUUGUAAAAUCCCAAAAAAUAUUUGUUAAAUGUGUUUUUUUUAUUCUAGAAAUGGACUACUCCCGACCCAAAUCAGUGGGCUGUGCUAGGCUGGAUUCAGCCCAAAACUAAAGGGGUUAGUUACUGUGCGUAAGCACAGAAACCAGGCCCUACCUCAUUUGCUGGUAAGGGCGAAGCAAGAAUAAAAUAAACAGGGCAUCAGGAGGUUACCUGGGGUGGUGCAGCUUGAGCGUGGCCGUUAGUGGCGGUGACAUGGCAACCUCUCCCCUGUUUUCUCUCUUCUUCUGUCCAGAGGCAAGAGCCUUUUUUUUCUUUUCUUUCUUCUUCUACUCUAAGAGUUGCUGCUAGUGGUGGCAAUGGAGAGGAGGCGCAAUGGUGGCGCUGCUGGGUUAAAGGUGGCCGGUGGUGGUUCUUCUUCUACUCCAAUUCCCCAAACAUUUCAUCCUAAUAUGCUUCAAACAAAAUUAGACAGCAGGUUCGUCUUCAUAUUAGGGGUGUCUUCCAAUUCUAUCUACCCGGCCUUAAUUAAUUGUAGAAACUUUCUCUUGAAGGCGUUGCAGGUAUGGAUGUUAUGCCUAGCAAUACCAGCAUGGUAUUCACAAUUGAGUUCUAGCUUGUACCAAUUAGGAUAAGGUGGCUGUAGAGGUGUCAGAGGUUUUAGAGCAAUCUGCCUGAUGCUCAAUAGCUUUUGAUACAUCUCAUUCAGGGCUAGCGAUAGUGGAGGUAGUUACCUUUAUGGGAAUUUGCUUAUUUUAGAUGAUUUAAAUUUCAUUGAAAAAUUAAAUUAAUACAUUUAAAAGAAUUUCCAACAGAACAACUAAUUUAAUCCUAUAACUGAAUUCAAUUCACAAUAAAGAAAAUCUUCUUACCAUCGAGUCUGUAAGAAGGAAGCCCUUUUCCUUCUCCUUUCAACCGACAAAGCUCCCCUGCACUCUCUUUUCCCUGCCGCCAACCUCCAAACCACAACAGCCACACAUUGUCCCCACACACUUCGCCUCCAGCCGCUACCUCGCAGGUACGUCUUGCAAACUUUGAGAAUAUAUUCACAUGGUUUCUUAUCUUUAAUUGCGAUUAACUGUGAUGCUUGUGGUUUUUGACAAAAAAAUAUAAAAAUAUGUUUUUGUGUGUUGCAUACGGCCAAUACCCUAACAUGUUUUUUUAAUGUCUUAAAAAAAAAACAAAUAUUUGAACUUUCAAAAUUGUGUUUUCGCAUGGAUUUCUUAAACACAACAAAAAAAUUAUUUUCUUGCAUUUCUGGAUUUUACAACAUGUUUGUAAAACUCCAAAGGGUAUUGACCAAUAUUCCAAAAAAAUACAAAAAUCUUAUUUUGGGGGGAAUUCAUUUAUUAUUCACCGUUAAUGUUUGGAUAAAGAAAUCCCAAAGGGAUGAAUAUCCAAAAUAUUAUUAGGAAUAACUUGUUAUUAUUUACUGUUAAUAUUUGGAUAAAAAAGCCCUAAGCGGUAAAUAUCUAAAAUAAUUUUCUAGGAAUAAUAAGUCAUCAAACAUCCUUGAAAAAAGCCUUGAUUAUAAUUGAGGACAUUUUAAUUUUACUCCACGGUUUACGAGCCAUGAGAAUAUGAAACACUAAGGCAAAAAUAGGCUUUUAAAGUGCCUUGAAUUUCCUUAGAUUUCUAAUUUUUUUGUCCCUCCUCCUUGUGAUUUACGAGUCGCAAAACUCUUGAAAAACUAAGGGAAAAUUGAGCUUUCGAAGCACAUGGAAUCUCCUUGGAUUACUAUCCUAAUAAAUUUAGGUUGAAUCAAACCUAGAAAAAUUGAUGGGAUUACAAAACAUCAACACCGUAGCAAUUAUAAAGCAAACCAAACACUAAACAACUUACCUUAGGUAGGGCGUACUAGGGGUGCUAAUACCUUCUCUUUACGCAACUAGUCCCUUGCCUUAGAAUCUCUGAAAGACCAGUUAGGGUUCCUAGUGACCAAAAUACUAGGUGCUGACUCCAAAGAACCAAUCAAGCAAAAUAAUAAACGAAAAAAUCACCAUCGGAUGCCGCAUGGGUGACGUACGACAGAAUGACGACUCCGUUGGGACCUUAGACUAAGCUUGGUAAUUGUUUUUUUUUUAUGCUAUGUGUUGUUUUUUUUUUAAUUAUGAAUGAUACUUUGUUUAAAAGCUUUAAAAUGCAUCUAUACAUUAUGUCAUACAUGGUGUAGUCAUUCAUCACUUUAUUAUUAUUUUCUUUUUUGAGGGCACACACAUUAAAUUUUAAGUUAAGUGGGGGACUAAUAGCUUGCCUUGAUUGAGUCAAAGUUUAAGUUUGUGUAAACCCUAACGCUUUGUUGAGUGUUUAGACUGAUAGUGAUUGGUACAAGUGCCAUCCCACUAUCUGCUGAACCCCUAUAUUGCCUUUACGAGGGUGAUCACUAGGACAACAAGAGACUCUCGUUUAGAGACCAAGUAGUAAACCUACCCAAUGUCUCACAUAAAGGAACUAGAACCUAUCCUUAGGAUGUAUGCUCCAUAAUAUCUUUUUGCAUCCAACAAGCCUAAGCUCAAAGCAUCUUGAAUCUCAAGACUUCAUUCAAAAGCUAGCCAAGGGAGAGAUGUUCCAGAAUUGGGAGACCCAAAAAGUUCCAUUGGUUUCAAAAUUUAAUCAACAAUGCUUGUUUAAUCAUGAUAUUGUGUUGUUUGCCUUUUUCAACUUUUUAAAUCGAGGUUCCAAAUGUUAAUGGGAUUUUUAUGCUUUUCUUUUAGCCAACCUUUUCCUUUUAAUGAGAUCAUGUAUUUUCAAAAGUUCAUCUUGGUGUUUUUACACAUCACUUUCCUUUUCAAAGUGAAUCUUCCAUAACUACACCUACACUUUACACUGAGAAUGAAUUGCCAAACGUUAAAGAAUACAUAUUAGUUGUAAAAGAGGAAGAAUGGUAGGAAAAUAACAUUAGGGGAUUCAAAAAAAUUAAUAACAUGAACAAGCUUGGAUCAGGAAUUAGAAAAUCCAACUCUGUCAACAUAAAUGAGAGUCAACUCUUUAAUCAGGAAGAUCCAAGAAAAUUCAACCUAUUAGUCAAGAAAUUCAACCCUACCAUCAGGAAUUAGCGUCAACCUUACAAUCAAGAAGCUCCAUGGAAAUUCAGCCUUAUUAAUCAGGAAAUUGAAACAUGCCAUCAAGAAACAAUGGCAACUUUAUAAUCAUGAAGCACAAAGAAAAUUCAACCAGAAAAAGUAAACCUUGCAAGCAAGAAGCACCAUAAUCGUCCACCCUUAAAAAAAAUGGAAAUGGGUCUAUCUGGAAAAUAUAGAGACACAAAGAAUUUUGGUCUCUUAUCAGUAAAAUAUGGAUUGGGAGUCGCCACCUAGUAUUCUAGUCACUAGGAACCCUAACUGGUCUCAGAGAUCAGGUACGAACACCGGUUGCAUAAAAGGAAGGUACUAGCACCCCAACUACGCCCUACCUAAGGUAAGGUGCAUUGUUUUGUCAGAUAAAAUCUAAAGUCUUGUUGUGGUUUCUAAUUUUCGGUCCGUUUACGGUUUAAGAAAAGUCCUCAUCUGUAAGGAGAUCCUUACCUUAUCGGGUAAAAACCUAACUACUCUAAGUCAUCAAAAGAAAAUACCUUUUUAAUAUCGGGUAUACGUUUUAUGUAUAAAUUCAUAAUUCUUGAUACUAAAACAAAACAAAAUAAAAAUUUUGUUGUUUUUGAAAAAUUUGGCCAAUGUUUCUCUAGACUUAAUAAACUGGUUAUUAAAGCCAAAAUGUAUGCUUAAACAUUGUUUUUUGGUGUAUGAAACACGAUAUUAUUUUUUUAGCUUUGAGACUGGCUGCAUGCAUAGAAACAUUAUUUUUUCUUUUUUCAAAAUUUUUUGUUUUUGGAAGUUUGAAAAAACCAGGUUUUAAUACCAGAUUUUUAUUUUUUCAAAAUAAAAUAUAGACUGAUAUUAAGCAAUAGGACAUAGAAAAUACCGAGAAAAUUGUAAAAUCCCAAAAAAUAUUUGUUAAAUGUGUUUUUUUUUAUUAUGGAAAUGGGCCGCACCCGGCCUAAAUCAGUGGGCUGUGCUAGGCUGGAUUCAGCCCGAAACUAAAGGGGCUAGUUACUGUGUGUAAGCACAGUAACCAGGCCCUACCUCAUUUACUGGUAAGGGCGAAGCAAGAAUAAAAUAAACAGGGCAUCAGGAGGUUACCCGGGGGUGGUGCAGCCUGAGCGUGGCCGUUAGUGGCGGUGACAGUGGCAACCUCUCCCCUGUUUUCUCUUCUUCUGUCCAGAGGCAAGAGCUUUUUUUUUUUCUUUUCUUUUCUUCUUCUGCUCGAAGAGUUGCUGCUGGUGGUGGCAAUGGAGAGGAGGCGCAAUGGUGGCGUUGCUGGUUAAAGGUUGCCGGUGGUGGUUCUUCUUCUACUCCAAUUCCCAAACAUUUCAUCCUAAUAUGCUUCAAACAAGAUUAGACAGAAAGUUCGUCUUCAUAUUAGGAGCGUCUUCCAAUUCUAUCUACCCGACCUUAAUUUUUAGAAACUUUCUCUUGAAGGCGUUGCAGGUAUGGAUGUUAUGCCUAGCAAUACCAGCAUGGUAUUCACAAUUGAGUUAUGGCUUGUACCAAUUAGGAUAAGGUGGCUAUAGAGGUGUUAGAGGUUUUGGAGCUAUCUGCCUGAUGCUCAAUAGCUUUUGAUACAUCUCAUUCAGGGGUAGCGGUAGUGGAGGUAGUUGUUCUUGAACCCUUUGGUAAUUUCCAAUUUGGCUUUUAGCUUGAAAGUUUUGGGGUUCAUGAUUUUUUAUAUUGGCAAUUUGGGAUGGUGUGGUAGUUUUGGGAUGUUUUUCCUACCCUUGUAGCCAUCUUAACAUGAUGGACCUCUUUUCUCGAUGGGUGCAAAAAUUCUAGCACUUUUGACACCUUGCUCUAUGCAUUCACACACUACCACAACAUCAGUGAAUUGCUGGGCCGAACUACCCAUCACAUGUUCGUAAUAGGAUGCUUUGAGUGUGUUGGCUAAUAAAGAGACCAUCUUUUAUCUAAAAGUGGAGGAUGUACUUGAGCAGCUGAUUCCCGCCAUCUUUGAGCAUAUUCCCUUAUGCUUUGUCCUUUUUCUCUAGAUUGGACAAGUUGGUUUUGUCGGGAGCGAUGUCCAUGUUAUACUUGUAUAGCUUGACAAAAGCAUCCACCAGAUCUUUCCAGCUCUGAAUUUUUGUGUUGUCCAAUCUCAUGUACCAGCUCAAUGUUGCCUAACUUAAGCUGUCUUGGAAAAAGUACGUACUACUUCUGCCAUUUUAUUGCAAUAGGACUUGAGGUGAGUUAUAGGGCAUUGUGUUCCACUAUAUUUGAUGAACUCAGGAACACAAAACUUCUUUGGAAAAACCACGUUUGGGACCAAACACAUCUCUACUGCCCGUACCGGGUCAUAUAAGUCUACCCCAUUAAUGACUUUGAGUUUCGCUUCUAGUGCCUUUAUCUUAGCUUGAUCAAUGCUAUUAGAUGGCUUGGCCUUGUGGGACUGGUUAGCAGAUGCCUCCAUGGUUGUCGGGGCUGGUGCAGGUGUUACUGACUGCACAAAUGUUGGAUUUUCCUAAGGCUCUUGACCAUGUUCACACAUUCUUUCUUCAGGCUGAACUAUAGUAGGAGCCGGAUUAAAGGUGACGGUGGAUUAGAAGGACCUUCACCAAAGGUAUUUCUCAGUGUUUUGCUCGAGUAAGCUAGUGAGGUGAGCCACACUUGUUUUUAGAGACUCCAUCUUUUCUUGGAAAUAGGCAUCACGUUGAGUACGCUCUUCAACUUUCAUGCUUCUCGCUCUAAGUCGGAUGUUAUAGACUUUUUGGGGACCUAUUUUUCAAUCUGAUGCAUGUAUGUUAAAUGUAUGAAUAUGUAAUUUAUAUGAUAGACUUUCCCUUCGAGAGGUGACAUAUGAUCGUAACUCUUAUAUGAUGAAACAAGAAUCUUGAUUCUUGCCCACACUCUACAAUGAAAAUUUUAUGAGUGAUGAUCAUUAUAUCACCCGUAAGUCUUGAGUUCAAGAUGCUUCAAUAAGGGUUUGCCUUGUUGUAAAUAAAGAUAACACAUACAACCUAAGGACAUGUUCUAUUUAUUAUGUGAACAUGGGUAGGUUUUCUACCUGGUCUCAAAAGGGUCUCAUAUCUACUUAGUGAAGAUCUUCGUAAAGACAGUAUAAAGGCAUUGCGAGAAAUGAUUAAGGCACGUAUACCCACCAUUACCAAGCAGGCACUCAGAUAUGAGUUGGUUGUUUCACGCAUUUGAACCCUAACCAAUGGUCAUAGGGCAGAUCGCUAGUUCCCCACUUAACUUAGAAGCUUGUGUGUGCUUGCUUGCCAAAAAAUUAAAUCAUAUGAUGCAUGAGGCAAUUCUAUAUAAUGCAUGAACAAAUAUGUACAGAAAUUAAAGCGCAUAAGAAAUAAAUAAAGAAAAUGCAUAUUUCAAUAAACACGCAAACCACAACAAUAACACAAAAAUCACACAAAACAAAGCUUAGUCCACAAGCUUCCUAGUGAAGUCGCCAUUCUGUCGCACGUGUGCGGCAUCGUGGCGAUCGUCCACUCUCAAGGAAAAUGGAAAUGGGUCUAUCUGGAAAAUAUAGAGAUAAAAGGAAUUCUUGUCUCUUAUUAGUAAAAUAUAGAUUGGGAGUCGCCACUUAGUAUUUUGGUCACUAGGAACCCUAGCUGGUCUUAGAGAUCAAGUAUGGACACUGAUUGAGUAAAGGAAAUGUAUUAGCACCCCAACUACGCCCUACAUAAGGUAAGCUGCAUUGUUUUGUCUGAUAAAAUCUAAAGUCUUGUUGUGGUUUCUAAUUGUUGGUCCGUUUACGGUUUAAAAAAAGUCCUCAUCUAUAAGGAGAUCCUUACUUUAUCAGGUAAAAACCUAACUGCUCUAAGUCCUCAAAUGAAAAUACCAUUUUAAUAUUGGGCAUAUGUUUUAUGUAUAAAAUUGUAAUUCCUGAUACUAAAACAAAAUAAAAUAAAAAUUUUGUUGUUUUUUAAAUUUUGGCCAAUGUUCUUUUGACUUUAAUAAACUUGUUAUUAAAGCCAAAAUAUAUGCUAAAACAUUAUUUUUUGGUGUAUGUAAAACACGAUAUGAUUAUUUUUAGCUUUGAGACACUUGGCAGUAUGCACAAAAAACAUGUUUUUUUUCUUCUUUUCAAAUUUUUUUGUAUUUUGGAAGUUUUGAUGAAAACCAGGUAUUUUAAUACUGGAUUUUGUAUUUUUUUUAGAUAAAAUAAAGACUGAUAUUAAGCAAAAUUACAUAGAAAAUACGCGAGAAAAACUGUAAAAUUCCAAAAAAUAAUUGUUAAAUGUGUUUUUUUUAUUCUAGAAAUGGGCCGGACCUGGCCCAGAUCAGUGGGCUGGGCCGGAUUCGACCCAAGGAAUUAUUCAUGUUUUGCAUGCAAAUGGAGGCAAGGGUGAAGCAAGAAGAAAAUAAACAGGGCAGCAAGAGGUUACCUGGCGUGGUGCAGCCUAAGAGUGGCUGUUAGCGGCGAUGACGGUGACAAUGGCAGCCUUUCCCCUGUUUUCUCUUCUUAUGUGCAGAGGUGAAAGCCUCCAUUUUUUUUCUUUUCUUUUAUUUUUCUGUUCGACGAGCUGCUACUGCUGGUGGAAAUGGAGAGGAGGCGCAACGGUGGCGCUGCUGGGUUGAAGGUGGCCGACGGUGGUUCUUCUUCUUCUUCCUCUGUUUUUCUCCCUUUUUUAUGUCUUUCUGUUUUUGUUCUCUCUUUUUCUCUCAAUUUUCCUUUUUUUUUUCUUUCAAUCUCCAGACCUUCUUUGCUCUUUUGUCUUUUUUCUUAUCCUCCCCUGUUUUUAUAGGAAAAAACAGGGAGCGACGUGGCUCGGGCGGCCAUUAUGCUGCCGCCCCAUGAUUGCACGAUGGUCAUGUUCCCUCCUUUUUUUAAUGCCCAUGGUAGGCCACGGGUAGGUUAUACACGUGGGGCUAUGGUCGACACCUUUUUAUGCUUUUAAGGAAGAGAAGUUGGAGACAGAGGAAGAAAAAUCUUCUUCUUCCCCUGCUUCGUGCAUCCAGGGGAAGAAGAAGACCCACAUUGCCGUCAAAACAACACCGUUUUAGGUUUUUCCUUUAUUGUUUUUUUGUUUUUUUGUUUUUUGUUUCAUGAACAGUGCAUGAAACGGCACCGUUUUGAACAAAACGCGCCGUUUAAUUUAAAAGGAAAAGGCGGCAAAAACAUGUCAGAGUUCAGAUUGGUCCUUAAUUUGUGAUUUGUUCAAUCAAGUCCUCAAUUGCAAUUUUGAUUUAAUUAACAAUGCAAUUGCAUCCCUGCCAAAAAUCAAACAGCGAACCUAAAGUUAGCCACCUUUUUCACUUUGGUCCUUGGUCUUGAAUUAGUGCAAUUGGACCCUCAAUUGAGCAAUAAACUUCUAAUUUCUUCAAUUUAGCUCAUGAUCUGGUUUAAUUACAGCCCCUCUAUUUACGCAUCUUUUCCAAUUUGGUCCGUGGUUUUGAAUUUCUUCAAUUAAGUCCAUAAUUGGCCAUCAAACUUCAAUAUUUAUGCAAUUAAGCCUCUGAUUUGACCAAAUUAAAUCUAAAAAAAUUUAAUUUGAUGUCAGAACUUUAAUUUCCUCCAAUUAAAGCCCAAAUUAACUCAAAAAUCAUUUUUUGUUGCAAUCAAAACCUCCAUAAAUUCAAUUAAACCUUCAAUAAAAUUUAAUUGAGUCCAUAAACAUUUAAUUUUGGAAUUUUCUUUGUCAACAUGGCUCUCAUCAGUCAAUAAAAUACUGUCAAAUUUUAAUCUUUGUAUUCUUAAACCUCCUGAUCCAAUUUUUGACUAUUUUCUGAGCACUUUGGCAUCCUCUCAUGCUAUUAUUUUUUUGAUAAUAUUUUAUUAUUAUUUUAUUUUAUUUUAUUAUGUUUUAUGCGGAUACCCAAAAAUAGGUUACAACAUGCUUCAGAAUUUCUGAUUCAGAUUAUUGAGUUUCCAUACAUUUUUGCACAACUUGUAGCCUAUAGCAUCAUAGUCUAUUCAAUGACAUGAUUUGAAUGGACUGUUGCUAAAUUCUUGUGGUAUCUGUUCAGCUUUUAUGGUAUCUAUUGAAUGCACAUUAUUGCAGUUGCACCAAAUCACCACAUUGCUGCCAUAUUUCCUCAGCUACAUGUGAUUAUAAAGACAUGCUUGACAGUGGAAGAUCUUAUGGGAAUUUGCUUAUUUUAGAUGACUUAAAUUUCAUUGAAAAAUUAAAUUAAUACAUUUAAAAGAAUUUCCAACAGAGCAACUAAUUUAAUCCUAUAACUGAAUUCAAUUCACAAUAAAGAAAAUUUUCGAUAUGCAGUGGAAGAAGAAUUGAAAAGGCCCAGUAGUUUACAAUUUAAAGAGGUUUAAUUCGUGGGUAGCUAGCCUAUGUUCAUGUGCUAGGCAGAGCCGAAUCUUAAGUUUUCUUUUUGGGACUUCUUGAAAGACGAGGACAUGUUUCUUAAUUGAAUAGGGCACCACUUCUAGGACAAGGCCGAAUAGAUGGUGAUGGAUGAAAUGUAUGCAUAUUAAAGUAAAUAAAAAAUCAAAUCAAUUAAAUAUUAAUAAAUAAAAACAAAUUUAAUUAAACAAAUAACAAAAUUAGAACCCACCUCAAAAUAACUUAUGAUUCGGGUUAUAAGAUUAUAAUAGCUUUAUAAAAAACAUAUUGAAAUAAAUUAUGAAGUUUAAUUCGUAAAAAACUUAAUAUAGAUGAAAUUGAAAAUAAAAAUUAAAUAUUUAAUAAAAAAAACAAGUCAUCACAAUUCUAAUAAACAAGGGUAAAAGUGAAUUCUGUUUAUUAUAAUUAUAAUAUCAUAUGUAUAUAUUUAAGAUAUUGUGAACAAUAAUGUAAGGUUAUAUGUGGUAAAUAAAUAUGUAGUUAAAUAAUUAAGAGUUAUAAAUAACCUUAAACAAUAGAUUAAUAAAUUAAAAAUAUCUUUAGAUAUAUAAAAUUAUUAUAUAUACUGUAACACUGAAUACAAGAAUAAUUAGGCAUCAAGAAUUUUAUGCCAAGAAAAGAUUCCAAAUAACUUUGGCAUAAUAUGGACCACUUUGCAUCUAACUAUAAAUUUAUAUGAUAUUGGGAAAAUAAUAAAUUAUCUCCUUAGUUUCAAUACCUCAACAAUGACCCGUUAAUUAAUUUUAUAAUGUAAAAUUAAUAACAUAAUCACCACUAUGAAUCAAGGACCAUUACUUUUUUAUUCUUAGGGACCAGAUUUUGACCCUUCAAAUACAACAAUCAAAGCAUACGCAUUGGUGCACAUCUUGUCUUUGAUUUCAUAUAUAUUAAAAAAAAAUUGUGCCUAUAUAUAUAUAUUAUAUACACAUCCUUGCUCAAUCGGGGCCUACUUUCUUAUAUUUAUUAUUUUUAACGUUAAGGACCAUAUUUUUUUUUAUUUUCUAUGGAAUCAGGGACCACAUUUAGACCCUUCGCUACAAUUUAAAUCUCAUUGAGUAUAUAAUUAGAGAGAUACAAAUAUAUAUAUCUCCUUCCACUGCCUCAAUAAUGAUAUCAUAAUUGUCUAUUUUGGUUGAUGAGGUGUACCAAGAUUGAAUGGGAAACUUAACGUUAUUAUUACAUUCCAUCCAUUUCAAUCUACAUCAUAAAAAGCUUUGUAAUUGAUAUUUUACCUGCUCCAUGCAAUAAAUAAUAAUUAAAAAUUUAACGACUUCAUCAAACCUUUUUAUGAUAUAGAUUCAAUGAAUGGAAAUUCAAUAUAAGGUUUAAAAACUUUUAUAUGAUUAAAAGUUAUAUUAGUUUUUAAAGCAUUUUGGUCGUUGAUAGUAUUUUAUAAUUUUAGGUUAUUAAUGAAAUUUGAUAAUUUAACUAUGAGUUUCAUUGUAAAACUCAUGUUCUAGAUAACUUAGUUAUAUGACUCACGCGAUGCUACGGGUCAAUUUUUUUGCAUAAAAAAUAUCAAAAUAUACUAAGAUCUAAGAAUGUUAGGUCUUUCUACAAAGAUAUAUUCAAAAGCCUUGGGUCUAGCUACAAUGCUUGACCCAAUACUACUAUUUAUAAUAUUAAUAAUAAUAUUAAAUUUACAUGACUUAAGUUUAAGUGAGCCUGACUGCAACACCGAACCCAAGAGCAUUGGAUGUGGGUCUGGCUAUAAGGUCGUGUCAUAAAAGUGUGAUAAUUAAAUAGAUUAAUUAAAAAGAAAAAAAGCUCAAUAGGAAGAAAAAAACUAAUGAAGAAAAAGAAAAAAAGUUGAAUUAACUGGGUUAACCCGUCAAACCUGGGAUUCGCAUAAUGAAAGUUUGAUAACUAAAUAGAAAAAAAAAUAUUGACGGGUUUACCUAGAAUUAAUUGAGUUAACCUGUCAAACCAAGUUAACCCGUCAAGCCCGGAAUAUGUGUCAUGAAAGUCUGAUAAUUAAAUAUAAAUAAAUUUAACAUUAACAAACUAAACUAAAUGAAAAAAAUUAAUUAAAAAGAAAAAAAAUCCAGGUUAACCCGUCAAAUCAGGUUAACCCAUCAAACCCGGGAUCUGUGUUAUGAAAGUCUGAAAACUAAAUAAAAAAAAACAUUUAACAUUAAAAAACUAAAUUAAACAAAAACAAUUCAUUAAAAAAAAAAAACAGUUUAGGUUUCAUUUACUUUUUAGUAUAUUCUAUAAUAUAAUUAUAAUUAUAAUAUAAUAAAUAUAAUAAUAUAAUAAUAUACUAUAUUAAAAAUGAAAAAAGUGAAAGGCAUAGGGAAAACUACAGUACUUUUCCCAUGUCUUUUAGAGUAUUUAUUAAUUCAUUAUCAGCUUUAUAUUUUUAUUAUUAUUUAUAUAUAUGACGUGGGAUUUGUAGCUCACAAGUAAUAAUAUGUAUAAGAAAAAAUUAAUAAUAUAUUAAAUAUUAAAUCAUGAUUUCAGCAUCAAAUGAUGUUGUUGAUGAAAUCAUUUUAAUCCCACCAACAUUAAUUCUAUCUUAUGCAAAAUAAGUACUUUAAGUUAUUAUGUAAAUCAUCAUAAUUGUUUUAUUGAUUAUUGGGUUAGAUCUGAUGCACUUAUAUGGAAUGAGUUUGGUUCAAGAUUUUUUUUAUUUUGGUUAAAAUAUUGUUCUAUUUUGGACUCUUUACAAUCAUUUUCAACUAUUUUUGUUUAUUAAAUAUUUUAAUUAAUAAUAAUUGUUAUCAAAAUCUCAAACAGGUCUAAAUAUUAUACCAGAAGGGGAACACAUCAUGCACCUCCUCUCCUUAGGUCUUCUUAUCUAACAUUUUGAUAAAAUUUAAUUAUAUUUGCUUAUUUAGGACCAUAUAUAUAUAUACAAAUAAUUUUGAGAGGAAUAUCAAAUUUAAGAGGCCACUUAACUUGAUGGUGACGCCGCCCUAAACUUAAUUGUCCUAUCGUCUGUUGGUGAUUUAUUUAAGGAUGCAACUUGCAAAAUUAUGACUCUGUGUGAUAAAACUUUUGGCCUCUUACCUGAAUUUUUGAUAGGCAAAAUCUCAAUUAGUAUCUCCAAUGUGUAUGACCAUACAAGAACGCCAAAUAUAAAAAUGUAUUUUAAGAACCAUAAGCGAAAGCAUAUGAUAUAAUUAAUUACAGUUAAACCUUUAUAAAUUAAUAUCUUCGGAUGAUAAAUAUUGAUUUCUUAAUUAAGAUAUUAUUUAUUAAUUGAUCUAUGGGACAGAAGAGGGAUACAAAAGCAAAUGGUCUAUCAAGGCUUAUUGUGGCGUCUGAAAUUAAAGGGAAAAAUGGAUUUGUACAAUAAUUAGUUGAUGCACUCUUCUGCUUGCUGUAUAAGACCUGUUUCUAUGUAUUUUGAUUCCAAUGCCAGUGUUUUUUUUUUGUUUUUUUAAAGGUUGAUUGUUUAUUUUUUUGUUUUUUUUUGUGCUUGCAUUUCAAAAUGUAUUAAUGUUGCGUACAAGAAGCAAUUUAAUUAAAGCCAUAUGUGGUUAUGGUUAGAAAACUGUUGUUGUUGAUGAUUAUUAUGAUGCCAUAUCAAUAAUCAUGUUGUUCUAUAAUCUUUCACAAGCAUGAACAUAGUCCAGGGCUGGUUCAACAUGAAGUGCUCGUUGGUCCUGUCGAGAAAGUCCAGGUUAAUUAUCCAAGUGAUUUAAUGAGCUGAAAACUAUAAAAUAUAUGGGGAAAUACAACAAAUUAAUCAUUUUAAAUGAAAAUGAGAGUCAUCCUUCCUUGCUCUCUCAAAUAGAUCAAAAAAGUAAGAUUAAUGUAUAAUCUUAGUAUUUGAUCCUAUAUUUUCUUGAGAGACAAAAAAUACAAAUUUAAAUAUAUUGAUUCAUUUUAAAUAUAUUUGGAUAUAUGAUAAGAUAUUAAAAUAAUAUAUUUUUUAUUUUAAAAAAAAUUAUUUUCAGGAUAUUAAUUACACCCUUUAUAUAUAAACUAUACAUAAGAGUUAUCUUGUGAUGCAAACAAACAUAACAAUGACCCUAUAAAUAAACUGUUUGGUCGCUGUAUUUGGUUUCAAAACUUUAAAAUAUUUAUACUUCGUACUCGCAUUGUUUACCGCAGCACUAUAUGUACUACUCAUAAAUAAAGUGCGAAUUCACGCCUCAACUACGACCGGCAAGUCAUAGCUUCAAGAUGUGCAUACCGUAUUUUUGGUUACUUAUUUGGAAUUAAAAAAAAUCGAGAAUAAUGAUAGAAUUAUAUUUGAUUAAAGUACAAAAAGACAUGUGUAUAGCAGUUAAAAUAGAAAAUAAAUGAAGAAAUAUGUAUUGUAUCUUUUUUUUUUCCCGGAAUGGUUACUAAAUACUAUCUAAAAUCACAUUUUCUCAUGGUGUUCAUAUGUAUGAUAGUUGUCAAGGCUUAGUUUAGAGUCUAAUCAGAAAAAAAAAAAUAAAAAAAGUUAUUGAAUUAUUUUAUUAAUUUGUGAGUUACUAUGUCAAUCUAUGUAAGAUAUUUUUUAAAAUAAGAUAUCGUUUUAUUUUCUUUGCAAGUCUUUUAAAGCUAGCUACUUUGUAAGUUAUUGAAUUUUUUUAAUUGAUAUUUUUUAUUUGAUUUAUUUUUAAUAUUAAAUUAGUUGAGAAAUGGAUUUUAUAAUUUAAUUUAUUUUGUUUUUUUAUAAGGUUAUUACAAUUUCAAAUAAAAAUUUAUAUUUAGAGUUUGUGCUUGAUUUUACAAAUAUAACUUUUUUCUAUAAAUAAAUAAAAAUAGUAUAUAUAGAUAAUAAAAUUAUUAAACUAAGUAGAGUUUAUAAUUUAGAUUAUAAGAUGAUUAAGGUCAAUUCAAAAUUAUAUCAUCUUAAUAUUUUUUAAAUAUUUUUUUUUAAUUAUAUUUUUAUUGAUUAUUUAAAUUAUAUUUUGACCCAUGUAACCCAAUAAUUAUAUCCAAUAUUUUCAUUUGUCUUGUUAUAGGUCGUUGCGAUACUAACAGUAUAAAUUAUGGAUGGGUAAAACACUAAAUUGUGCACCAUCUCAAACACACUCCAGCAAGAGAGAGCGACGACAACAAUCAUGGGUUCUGAAACAGUGCCAAAAAUCCCUGUUGUUCAUUUGUCCAAGGAAAACUUCGAGCCUGGCUCUAGUUCCUGGCUGGCGGCUUGCAAUGAUAUCCGGCGAGCACUUGAGGAAUACAGUUUCUUUGAAGUAGUACACAGCGAACCUUCAAUGGAACUUUACAGGGAAAUUAUAUCGGUGCUAGAAGAAUUGUUCAAUCUCCCUGAUGAAACAAAAACCAAAAAUACACAUCCUAAGAUCGGCCACGGUUACAUGGGGAAAAUCUCUGGCUUCCCUGAGGGCUUGGGGAUCGAGUAUGCAACAAAGAAAGAUGAAUGUCAAAAAUUUACAAGCCUUAUGUGGCCCGAUGGAAAUGAAAGAUUCUGGUAAGAUCUGCAUAUUAUUAUAUUAUGAUUAAAUAUUUCUCUUUUUCCUUUUCCUUCGACCGAUCAUCUGAAUCCUUGCAUAUAGCUGUAUCCUCCUAUGCUAACAUUAAUGUGAGCUUAAUUAGUAUGAUUUACUUGCUUUUUGUUUGUAUCUUUAGUGAUGUCAUCCACUCUUAUACGAAGAUAGCAUCUGAACUAAAUCAGAUGCUGGUAAGGAUGUUGUUUGAAAGCUAUGGAUUGAAGAAAGACUACGAGCCUCUCCUAAACUCAACAAAUUACCUCCUACGUCUGUUGAAAUAUGGAAGAUCACUCGGGGAGACGAAUGUUGGUUUUAAGGCUCAUAUGGACAAGACUUUCUUCACUCUACUUUAUCAAAAUCCUGUUAACGGUUUAGAGAUUAAGAACCAAGGAAGGAGAGUGGAUUACGUACGAGCCUUCUUCACCAACUUCAUUUGCUGUCAUAGCUGGUGAUGUAUGCAUGGUGGGUUUAUCCUAUUUCUUAUUUUACAAGAUUCCUAUUUCAAACGAUACACACACACACACUUAAUGGAUUCAUAACUCUUGAUCAUGAAUUGUGUUGUUUGAAUAGAAAAUCUUGGUUGGUGUUGUGUAGGCAUGGAGCAAUGACAGGAUAAAAUCUUCUUACCAUCGAGUCGUUGUAAGCAGCGAAGAAGACAGAUAUGCACUGGGGUUAUUCACAUUCCUAGAUGGGGUGGUGCAAACAGCAGAGGAGCUAGUAGAUGAUGAACACCCAUUACAGUACAAGCCCUUUGAACACCUGAAGCUUCUUGAUUUCUAUGAAUCAUCCAAUGAUCCGGAUAAACGUGACAUCAAUAUCAUGAAAACCUUCUGUGGUGUUUAAUACUCUAAAAUGGAAUGGGAUUAUGCUGCUUGACAUGUCUCCUUUUCUUUUGUUUUUCCUCGGUCGAUUGCUUUAAACCAGUCUUAUUUGUACCUCUUGUGAAUCUCUAAAAUGUAAUGGGAUUAUGCGCUUGACAUGUCUCCUUUUCUUUUGUUUUUCCUCGGUCGAUUGUUUUCAACCAGUCUUAUUUGUAUCUCUUGGGUGAAUGAAGUGUUUAAUUAUUUGGUGAAGGCCAGGAGUCAUGUUCUACCUUGGGAUUAUUGAUCUUGUUUGCAAACAACUUUUAAUUUUGCGAUUAGAUCUCUGAAGUUUCAGAAAUUCUAAAUUUAAGCCCUUCCAUCAAUAUCUUUCUAUAUUGUUGUAGGAAUUAUUUAUUGCAGAGAAUAUUUAAGCCCUUCCAUCAAUAUCUCUAAAAAUAUUUGAAUAAUUUGAUAACAAAAUUAACAUUACCAGAAAUUCAACUAAAACCAUCAGAAUUACCGACGCAAUUUUUCUAUUGGUAAUUUACGUCCAUCAGUUCAAUAAGACCCCAACAAAUUUGAGUCCAACAAAAGCUUUAGCCAAUUCAAGUCCAGUAAAGAUCUUGGAAGAUUCCUUUAAAUUCAACCCUAUUAAUUAGAAAAUCCAACUCUGUCAACAUAAAUGAGAGUCAACUCUUUAAUCAGGAAGAUCCAAGAAAAUUCAACCUACUACAAGAAAUUCAACCCUACCAUCAGGAAUUAGCGUCAACCUUACAAUCAAGAAGCUCCAUGGAAAUUCAGCCUUAUUAAUCAGGAAAUUCAAACAUGCCAUCAAGAAACAAUGGCAACUUUAUAAUCAUGAAGCACAAAGAAAAUUCAACCAAGAAAAAGUAACCUUGCAAGCAAGAAGCACCAUAAUGUUUAGCCUUGUGCGGCGUCGCGGAGAUCGUCCACCCUUAAAAAAAUGGAAAUGGGUCUAUCUGGAAAAUAUAGAGACACAAAGAAUUUUUGUCUUUUCAGUAAAAUAUGGAUUGGGAGUCGCCACCUAGUAUUCUAGUCACUAGAAAUCCUAACUGGUCUUAGAGAUCAGGUAUGAACACUGGUUGCGUAAAGGGAAGGUACUAGCACCCCAACUACGCCCUACCUAAGGUAAGGUGCAUUGUUUUGUCAGAUAAAAUCUAAAGUCUUGUUGUGGUUUCUAAUUGUCGGUCCGUUUACGGUUUAAGAAAAGUCCUCAUCUGAAGGAGAUCCUUACCUUAUCGGGUAAAAACCUAACUACUCUAAGUCAUCAAAAGAAAAUACCUUUUUAAUAUCGGGUGUACGUUUUAUGUAUAAAUUCAUAAUUCUUGAUACUAAAACAAAACAAAAUAAAAAUUUUGUUGUUUUUGAAAAUUUGGCCAAUGUUCUCUAGACUUUAAUAAACUGGUUAUUAAAGCCAAAAUGUAUGCUUAAACAUUGUUUUUUGGUGUAUGAAAAACAUGAUAUGAUUAUUUUUAGCUUUGAGACACUUGGCUGCAUGCAUAGAAAACAUUAUUUUUUCUUCUUUUCAAAUUUUUUUUGUAUUUUGAAGUUUUGACAAAAACCAGGUAUUUUAAUACCGAAUUUUGUAUUUUUUCAAAAUAAAAUAUAGACUGAUAUUAAGCAAUAGGACAUAGAAAAUACAUUGGAAAAUUGUAAAAUCCCAAAAAAUAUUUGUUAAAUGUGUUUUUUUUAUUCUAGAAAUGGCUACUCCCGACCCAAAUCAGUGGGCUGUGCUAGGCUGGAUUCAGCCCAAAACUAAAGGGGUUAGUUACUGUGCGUAAGCACAGAAACCAGGCCCUACCUCAUUUGCUGGUAAGGGCGAAGCAAGAAUAAAAUAAACAGGGCAUCAGGAGGUUACCUGGGGUGGUGCAGCUUGAGCGUGGCCGUUAGUGGCGGUGACAAUGGCAACCUCUCCCCUGUUUUCUCUUCUUCUGUCCAGAGGCAAGAGCCUUUUUUUUCUUUUCUUUUCUUCUUCUACUCUAAGAGUUGCUGCUAGUGGUGGCAAUGGAGAGGAGGCGCAAUGGUGGCGCUGCUGGGUUAAAGGUGGCCGGUGGUGGUUCUUCUUCUACUCCAAUUCCCCAAACAUUUCAUCCUAAUAUGCUUCAAACAAAAUUAGACAGCAGGUUCGUCUUCAUAUUAGGGGUGUCUUCCAAUUCUAUCUACCCGGCCUUAAUUAAUUGUAGAAACUUUCUCUUGAAGGCGUUGCAGGUAUGGAUGUUAUGCCUAGCAAUACCAGCAUGAUAUUCACAAUUGAGUUCUAGCUUGUACCAAUUAGGAUAAGGUGGCUGUAGAGGUGUCAGAGGUUUUAGAGCAAUCUGCCUGAUGCUCAAUAGCUUUUGAUACAUCUCAUUCAGGGCUAGCGAUAGUGGAGGUAGUUACCUUUAUGGGAAUUUGCUUAUUUUAGAUGAUUUAAAUUUCAUUGAAAAAUUAAAUUAAUACAUUUAAAAGAAUUUCCAACAGAACAACUAAUUUAAUCCUAUAACUGAAUUCAAUUCACAAUAAAGAAAAUCUUCUUACCAUCGAGUCUGUAAGAAGGAAGCCCUUUUCCUUCUCCUUUCAACCGACAAAGCUCCCCUGCACUCUCUUUUCCCUGCCGCCAACCUCCAAACCACAACAGCCACACAUUGUCCCCACACACUUCGCCUCCAGCCGCUACCUCGCAGGUACGUCUUGCAAACUUUGAGAAUAUAUUCACAUGGUUUCUUAUCUUUAAUUGCGAUUAACUGUGAUGCUUGUGGUUUUUGACAAAAAAAUAUAAAAAUAUGUUUUUGUGUGUUGCAUACGGCCAAUACCCUAACAUGUUUUUUUAAUGUCUUAAAAAAAAAACAAAUAUUUGAACUUUCAAAAUUGUGUUUUCGCAUGGAUUUCUUAAACACAACAAAAAAAUUAUUUUCUUGCAUUUCUGGAUUUUACAACAUGUUUGUAAAACUCCAAAGGGUAUUGACCAAUAUUCCAAAAAAAUACAAAAAUCUUAUUUUGGGGGGGAAUUCAUUUAUUAUUCACCGUUAAUGUUUGGAUAAAGAAAUCCCAAAGGGAUGAAUAUCCAAAAUAUUAUUAGGAAUAACUUGUUAUUAUUUACUGUUAAUAUUUGGAUAAAAAAGCCCUAAGCGGUAAAUAUCUAAAAUAAUUUUCUAGGAAUAAUAAGUCAUCAAACAUCCUUGAAAAAAGCCUUGAUUAUAAUUGAGGACAUUUUAAUUUUACUCCACGGUUUACGAGCCAUGAGAAUAUGAAACACUAAGGCAAAAAUAGGCUUUUAAAGUGCCUUGAAUUUCCUUAGAUUUCUAAUUUUUUUGUCCCUCCUCCUUGUGAUUUACGAGUCGCAAAACUCUUGAAAAACUAAGGGAAAAUUGAGCUUUCGAAGCACAUGGAAUCUCCUUGGAUUACUAUCCUAAUAAAUUUAGGUUGAAUCAAACCUAGAAAAAUUGAUGGGAUUACAAAACAUCAACACCGUAGCAAUUAUAAAGCAAACCAAACACUAAACAACUUACCUUAGGUAGGGCGUACUAGGGGUGCUAAUACCUUCUCUUUACGCAACUAGUCCCUUGCCUUAGAAUCUCUGAAAGACCAGUUAGGGUUCCUAGUGACCAAAAUACUAGGUGCUGACUCCAAAGAACCAAUCAAGCAAAAUAAUAAACGAAAAAAUCACCAUCGGAUGCCGCAUGGGUGACGUACGACAGAAUGACGACUCCGUUGGGGACCCUUAGACUAAGCUUGGUAAUUGUUUUUUUUUUAUGCUAUGUGUUGUUUUUUUUUAAUUAUGAAUGAUACUUUGUUUAAAAGCUUUAAAAUGCAUCUAUACAUUAUGUCAUACAUGGUGUAGUCAUUCAUCACUUUAUUAUUAUUUUCUUUUUUGAGGGCACACACAUUAAAUUUUAAGUUAAGUGGGGACUAAUAGCUUGCCUUAUGACUUGAGUCAAGUUUAAGUUUGUGUAAACCCUAACGCUUUGUUGAGUGUUUAGACUGAUAGUGAUUGGUACAAGUGCCAUCCCACUAUCUGCUGAACCCCUAUAUUGCCUUUACGAGGGUGAUCACUAGGACAACAAGAGACUCUCGUUUAGAGACCAAGUAGUAAACCUACCCAAUGUCUCACAUAAAGGAACUAGAACCUAUCCUUAGGAUGUAUGCUCCAUAAUAUCUUUUUGCAUCCAAACAAGCCUAAGCUCAAAGCAUCUUGAAUCUCAAGACCUUCAUUCAAAGCUAGCCAAGGGAGAGAUGUUCCAGAAUUGGGACCCAAAAAGUUCCAUUGGUUUCAAAAUUUAAUCAACAAUGCUUGUUUAAUCAUGAUAUUGUGUUGUUUGCCUUUUUCAACUUUUUAAAUCGAGGUUCCAAAUGUUAAUGGGAUUUUAUGCUUUUCUUUUAGCCAACCUUUUCCUUUUAAUGAGAUCAUGUAUUUUCAAAAGUUCAUCUUGGUGUUUUUACACAUCACUUUCCUUUUCAAAGUGAAUCUUCCAUAACUACACCUACACUUUACACUGAGAAUGAAUUGCCAAACGUUAAAGAAUACAUAUUAGUUGUAAAAGAGGAAGAAUGGUAGGAAAAUAACAUUAGGGGAUUCAAAAAAAUUAAUAACAUGAACAAGCUUGGAAACCUGCUAGAGAGGAGCUUGAAACCAUAGAUGUUGGCGAUGAAGAAAUCAAGAAGAGAGUUGAAGAUACGGACUUUGAUCACCCUUAAAGAAAGAGAAGAGUUGAUUGCACAACUUUGAGAUUUUGUAGAUGUUUUUGCUUGGUCCUACAAGGAUAUGCCUGGUUUGUAUAGGGUAUCACUACUAGAAGGAUGCAAAUCGGUUAAACAAAGGUUGAGAAGGACCAAUCCGAAUAAAGGCAUAAAUUGAAAAGCAGUAGAACACUGAUUUUCUAAAAAUAGUCAAGUAUCCACAAUGGGUGUCCAACAUAGUUGUCGUGCCCAAAAAGAAAGAUAAAAUCAAUUUUUGGACUUUAGGGACUUAAACCGGGCUAGCUCUAAGGAUAAUUUUCCUCUACCACACAUAGAUGUAUUGGUCGAUCCAUAUAUUACUUUAUGGAUGGAUUUUUGAGCUACAGUCAGAUGAAAAUAUCACAAUAGGAUGAGGAGAAGACAACAUUUGUAACACCAUAGGGAACCUUUUGCUACAAAAUCAUGAUAUUUAGGUUAAAGAAUGUCAGGGCCACCUACCAAAGGGCCAUGGUGGUUCUAUUUCACGACAUGAUGCAAAAGGAGAUUAAAGUAUACGUGAAUGACAUGAUCUAAAGAGGGAGAGAAUCAUGUCCAAAUAUUGCAUGAAUUAUUUGAAAGACUAAGGAAGUACAAGUUGAGGUUUAGCCAUGCAAGGUGUUCAUUCGGGGUGAAAUCUAGGAAGUUAGUGGGAUUUAUGAUGAGUGACAAAGGGAUAAAAGUGGACCCUGGUUAAGUAAAGGCUAUUCAAUCUAUGCCAACUCCCAAGACUGAGAAGGAUGUAAGGAGGUUCUUAGGAAGGUUGAAUUACAUUGCUCCGUUUAUAUCCCAAUUAACCACAACUUAUGACCUCAUCUUUAAUUGUUAAGGAAGAAGAAUCUCGAAAUUUGGAAUAAGAGUAUGAAGAAGCUUUCGCGAAAAUCAAGCAGUACCUACUGAAUCCACCCUUAUCUAUCAAGCCGAAUUGCAAAAUGGAAAGUUCUACUAGCUAAGUACAACAUAGUAUAUAUGAUAAGGAAAGCCAUGAAUGUUGUUGUAACCCAUUUUUGGGUCCCCAUGAAAAAUAAAAUAAAUAGCCAAAAAAGGUUAGAAAAAAUAACAGGAGGCAGAAGCGCUCAGAAAAUAGUCAGAAAAUUGGUCAAGGAAUUUUAAAAAUAUAAGGAUUGAAUUUUUGACAGUAUAUUCUUGAAGGAUGAAAGCCCUAUUGAGAAGGAAAUUUGAAUUUUGAGGAGAAAAGCCCAAAUUUGGAUGUUUAUGGAUUUAAUUGGAUUUUUAUUUGAAUUUAUAGAAGAUUUGAUUGCAAGAAAAAUUGAUUUUUAAGUCAAUUUGGGCUUUAAUUAAAGAAAUUUAAGUUCUGGGGCCAAAAUAUAUUUUUUAGGAAUUUAUUGGGUCAAAUCAGGGGCUUAAUUGCAUAAAUAUUGAAGUUUAAGGGCCAAUUAGGGAUUUAAUUAAGAAAAUCCGAAACCAGGGACCAAAUUGGAAGAGGCGCGUAAAUGGAGGGGCUGUUUUGCUUUGGAUCAGGGGCCUAAUUGAAGAAAUUGAAAGUUUAUUAAUCAAUUGAGGGUUAAAUUGCAUAAAUCAGAGGCCAAGGACCAAAGUGAAAAAGGCGGCCAACUAUGGGGGCGGGGACCGAUUUUGGAGGACUGAUUUGAAGUUUGCCCAUUUAAAUGAAACGGCGCGUUUUAUCCAAAACGACGCCGUUUCAUAUAUAAAAAAAAAAGAAAAAAAAAAAAGAGGAAGACCAGAACGGUGUCGUUUUGAAUGACACUGUUCAUCUUCCUCCUUCCCCCCGAAACAGAGCAGCAGAAGAAGAAAACCAUUUUCUUUUUUUUCAAAUCUUCCCGCCUCUCCCUCUUCGUCCCCACCACCUUUAAACAUUGGCCGACCAGCCGUUGUACCUCACUAACGAUGGUCCCCCAUAGUUCUGCCCCUAUAAAUAGAGAAGAAAACCGAAGAGGAGAGAGAGAGGAAACUAAAGAGAGAGAGAGACGACUGGAAAACAAAAAAAACUGGGGAGGAUGUUUUCUUAAACAGAACCGAGAAGAGAAGAGAGUGAUCACGGGUUCAACGAACCGAAAAAGAAGGAACGAAAAAACAGAGGGGAAGGGGAGAAAAAUCUUUUCUCUUCGCCGCUUGGGAACAGCCACAGCGCCGCCGUUCGCGAAGCCACGCCACCACCACGCCACCGUAGCACCGCCUCCUCCACGCCAGGUAACCUCUUCUUCCCCCUUUUCGUUAGUUUUUUUAAUUUUUUUUCCCUGCAUGCAGAAUGAACGUUUUGCAUGCAGGGGGGGAAAUAAUUCCCCCCUGAUGAUGCGUAGCUGGGCUAGGCGGAUCCUGGCCCAGCAUUUUUUUUGGGCCAGACUGAGUCUGGCCCGGCCUUGUGUUUGACGGGCCAGACCAGGUCUGGCCCAUACCAAGCUCUCUAGGCCAAGUCCGGCCCAGAUAUAUGUUUUUUUGGGGCCGAUAUCGGCCCAAUCCAUUCUAGGCCGAAAUCGACCCCAUUCUGGCUGGGCUGAGUCCGGCCCGUUUAUUUGGGCCGGCCUAGUCCGAAUUGUUUUUAUAUUAUAUAUAUUAUAUAUAUUAUAAUAUGUUAUAAUAUAUGUGUGUAUAUAUGUAUAUAUAUAUAAAAAUAUAAUAAUAAAAAAAAUAAUAUUUUAAAAAAUCUUAAAAAAAUAUUGUUGAUUUUUAUGCAUAUUUUUGUCAAAGUGGUUUAAUGUUGGUUUGUAUUUUUAUACCGUAAGGAUACAAAACCAGUGUUAAAAAUACCCGGUUUUCGUCAAAAUAUCAAAGAUUUUCAGAAUAAAAAAUGUUUUUGCUUUCAAAAAAAUUUCUAAAAAUUCCCUAAAAAUGUUGUUGAUUUUUCUGCAUAUUUUUAUCAAAGUGGAUUAAUAUUGGGUUGUAUUUUUAUACCGUAAGGAUACAAGCUCAGUAUUAAAAUACCUGAUUUUCGUCAAAAGCAUAAAAAAAUAAUAUUUUCCAAAAAAAUUUGUUUUUGUUUUAAAAUACGGCCUAGUCUCUCCAAUAUAUAUAUAAAUAUUAUAACAUCGUAUUUUCACACAACAAAGAAAAUUUUCAAAAACAAUAUAUGUAUUAACAUGUAUUUUGGCUUUAAUAACCAGUUUAUUCAAGCCAUGAGAACUAGGCCAAUAUUUCAAAAAAUUCUAAAAAAUCUUUUUGUUUUAUUUUAGUAUUUGGGAUUACGAAUUUAUACGUAAAACGUAUUCCUAAAUAUUAUUAAUAAAGUUUUGGUAUAGACGUUAGAACGGUUAGGAUUUUACCCGAUAAGAUAAAAGACCUUCUUACCGAGGAGGAUUUUUCUUGAACCAUAAACAGACCAACGACUAGAAGUAUAAUAACACCUUAGUUUUUAUCAGACAAUAAAACAAUGCAGCUUACCUUAGGUAGGGCGUAUUUGGGGUGCUAAUACCUUCCCUUUACGCAACCAGUCCCCGUACCCGAUCUCUGAGACCAGUUAGGGUUCCUAGUGACCAAAAUACUAGGUGGCGACUCCAAAGAACAAAAAAAUAAAAAAUUUUCGCCAGUCGAACCUGCGAUAAGAUGAUUUGAUUUUUUUUGGGGUGCGACAAAUGUCAUCGCCGAUCACCUAGUUGACCAUGCUAUGGAAGAAUAUGAGCCGUUAAAAUUUGAUUUUUAUGAUAAAGAGGUGCUUUCAGUCAUGGAAGGGAAAUCAGAUUGGUGGAUUACGUACUUUGAUGGUGAUGUGGUAACGGAGUGGGGGCAGUGCUAAUCUCUCUUAAUAAGAAACAAUAUCCUGUUUCAGUUAAGUCGCAGUUUCGGUGCAAUAAUAACAUAUGAGCAUGAAACUUGCACUCUCGUUUUAGAGGUGGCAUUGGAGCAGAAUAUUAGAAAGAUAGAAAUGUAGGGAGACUCAAUUUUGAUUACUUGCCAAGUGAAAGAAAAGGGCAAACCAAGGACGAAAAAGUUGAGACCUUACCAAGAAUACUUGUCUAAAUUGGCUAGAGAAUUUAAGGAAAUAAAGUUCACCCAUUUAGGAAGGACCCCUUUUUGUUGAUGCUUUGGUCAUGCUAGCUUCUAUGGCUAGAAUAGAUUUUGGGCACAAGGUACAUUCGGUACACAUUGAUACCAGAAAUAACCCAGCUCUUUGUUGCUCAGUUGAAAGAGAAAUAGAUGGAAACCCUUGGUAUUAUGAUAUCCAGAAUUUCAUCCAAAACCAGACAUAUCCCAUGGGGGCCUCCAAAAUCAACAAGAAGACUUUAAGGAGACUGGUAAUGGAUUUUUAUCUUGGUGGGGAAACUUUGUAUAAGAAAUCAUCUUACAGAACUUUGUUGAGAUAUUUGGAUGAUGUGGAGGCAACAGGUGUUAAAGAAAUUUAUGGAAAGAGAUUUGAUAUGUCGAUAUGGUCCGCUAGAAAAUAUUAUAACUAAUAAUAUGCAUAACUUCAAUAGCAAGAUGAUAAUAGAACUCUACACUAAAUGGAAAAUUAAGCAUUCCAAUUCCUCGCUAUAUAGGCCAAAGAUGAAUGGUCCGAAAAUGUCAAGAAGAUCAUUUAGAAGAUGGUAGUCACCUACAAGGAUUGGCAUGAGAUGUUGCCAUUUGCCCUUCAUGCAUACCGCACCACAAUCUAAACUUCAAUAGGAGCCACCCCGUACACUUUGGUAUAUGGUAUGGAGGUGGUGAUUCCUUUAGAAGUGGAAACCCCCUCAUUAAGAAUAUUGGUAGACUUUGAGUUUAGAAGAGGUGGGAUGGGUAAAAGUUAGAUAUGAAUAGUUGAAUCUGAUUAGUGAAAAGAGGAUAGUUGCAAUCUGUCAUUAUCAUGAAUGGCUAAAUCAUAUGAUAAGAAGGUUCGACCUCGAGGAUUCUAUAAAGGAGAUCUUGUAUUGAAAAAAAUAUAGCCUUUACCAGGAGAAGAUUAGAGUAAAUGGGAAGCAAACAAUAAAGGCCCUUAUACGGUAAAGAGAGCGUUCUCGGGAGGAGUUUUAUUGUUAUGUAGAAUGGAUGGAGAAGUUCUAGUUAGACCUGUGAAUGCUGACUCUAUAAAGAAAUACUAUGCUUCCCGAUCCAUAAAAUAAAGUUCAGCCGUGAAUUCUCUCUGUAAAGAAUCUUUUCUUUAUAAAGCGCAUGAUCUCAUAGCAUUCAAGAUCUUUUAGUUUAAAGAACUGUUUUUACACAUGACUAAGAAGAUGACUCUAUCAAUUCUCAAAUUGGAGGGAUCUAGACCAAAUUUAAACCUGGUAGGUAUUGCACACCACACUAGGAGGCAAAAAGUGUACAUAGGGGUCUGUAGUGAACCAAAGCCCAAAAGGGAUAUCAUCAUAGAACUUCUGAAACACCUUUUAUGAGAGUUGCUUAAAAAACAAAAUAUGAUGAUUGCAUUGAAAGUUUUCGUUUUCAUGAACAAACCUAAAUUUUUGAGUUUUCCUUUUAAAAAUAAUUUCUCAAAAAAAUGGAAAAGGCAAUUAAAAAAAAUAUAAUACAAAGCAACGUUCAAUGGAGCAAGAAAGGGCCCCCACAAGGAACUAGAGAUCUUUUCACCAAGCAUAAAAAGGAUAGAAAAUAUAGCGUGUGAAGCAUAUUCUAGUUCAAGAGGAUAGGUCGGGCAAACAAAUGGAAAUAGGAACUCGAAUAAGUCUACUACAAAAAAGGGGGACCUAUGUUUCCAAGAUAGGUAACAAAAACAUGCAUAACACUAACUUGGCAUAACAUAGCACUAAAUUGGUAGGAAAGGUGUGACAAAAGCCAAAUUAGUUCCAAGUUUUUUUGGGAACUGCUAAGAGACAAAAUCUCAGGUCAACAAAACUAUGGAAAAUUAUAGGAAUUGUGAACCAGCACUGCUUCAUUCCUCGAGGUAUGAUGUUUUCUUUAAGAAUUUUAAGAGGGGUCGGUCACCCGAUUUUGAGACCGUUUCUUAGAAAAGCGUGGAGUUUUCUAAGAAUUUUAAGAUAGGCUAGUCACCCGAUUUUGGAGACCAUUUCUUAGAAAAGCGUGGAGUUUUCUAAGAAUUUUAAGAUGGGUCGGUCACUUGAUAUUGAGACCGUUUUUUAGAAAAGCGUGGAGUUUUCUAAGAAUUUUAAGAUGGGCAGGUCACCCGAUAUUGAGACCCUUUCUUAGAAAAGCGUGGAGUUUUCUAAGAAUUUUAAGAUGGGCAGGUCACCCGAUAUUGAGACCCUUUCUUAGAAAACCGUGGAGUUUUCUAAGAAUUUUAAGAGGAGUCGGUCACCUGAUAUUGAAACUAUUUCUUAGAAAAGCAUGGAGUUUUCUAAGAAUUUUAAGAGGGGUCGGCACCCGAUAUUAAAACCGUUUCCUAAAAAAAAACAUGGAGUUUUUCUAUAAUUUUUAAAACGGGCAGGUCUCCAGAUAUUGAGAUCCCUAUCUAAAAUCCUACAUUUGGGUAGGUCACCCAUCAUAAUGAGACCAUCAUCUUUCAUUUGGGUAGGUCACCCAUUAGAAUGAGACCAUUCUCCAUUUUUUUUUUACCUAGGUAGGUCACCCAUUAUAAUGAGGUCAUUCUUCCCCCUGGGUAGGUCACCCAUAAGAAUGAGACCACUCUUCCCCUUUUCUACCUGGGUAGGUCACCCAUCACAAUGAGACCAUCAUUUUUCCUGGGUAAGUCACUCAUUAGAAUGAGACCAUUCUCCAUCUUUUUUUUACCUGGGUAGGUCACCCAUUAUAAUGAGGCCAUUCUUCCCCUUGGAUAGGUCACCCAUAAGAAUGAGACCACUCUUCCCCUUUUCCACUUGGGUAGGUCACCCAUGACAAUGAAACCAUUAUUUUUUCUGGGUAGGUCACCCAUUAGAAUGAGACCAUUCUCCAUCUUUUUUUACCUGGGUAGGUCACCCAUUAUAAUUGUCGCACGUGUGCGGCGAAAAAAAUAUGUUUCCAUUUUAAAUCUAUCUCUAUGUGGCAGAUAUGGGGAGACAAGAAAAUAUUGUCUUUUGUGGGUGAAAAAUGGAAUGGGAGUCGCCACCUAGUAUUUUGGUCACUAGGAACCCUAACUGGUCUCGGAGAUCGGGUAUGGGGAUUGGUUGCGUAAAGGGAAGUUUUUAGCACCCCAAAUACGCCUUACCUAAGGUAAGCUGCAUUGUUUUAUUGUCUGAUAAAAUCUAAGGUCUUUUCGUGUUUUCCUAGUUGUUGGAAUGGUUCAAGAAAAGUCCUUCUCGGUAAGGAGAUCCUUAUCUUAAUAGGUAAUUCUGACGUUAACAAAAUAAUUUAAUAUUCAGAAUACGUCUUACGUAUAAGAUCGUAACCCCAAAUACUAAAAGAAAACACAAUAAUUUUUUUGGAAGUUUUGAAAUAUUGGCCUAGUUCUCAUGGCUUGAAUAAACUGGUUAUUAAAGUCAAAAUGCAUACUAAUAAAUAUAUUUUUUCAAAAUUUCUUUUGUUGUAUGAAAAUAUGAUGCGAUGAUUUUUCUUUAUUUUGGAGAGACUAGGUUGUAUGCAUUAAAACAAAAAAACAUUUUUUUUGUCUGGACGAAAACCGGGUAUUUUAAUACUGGAUUUGUAUCUUUACGGUAUAAAAAUACAAACCAAUAUUAAGCUAUUUUGAUAAAAACAUGCAAGGAAAUCAACAAUAUUUUUUAAGGAUUUCUCAUAUUUUUUUGAAAGCAAAAACAUUUUUUUAUUUUAAAAUUCUUGAUGUUUUGACAAAAAAAAAAACGGGUAUUUUAAUAUUGGAUUUGUAUCUUUACGGUAUAAAAAUACAAACCAAUAUUAAGCAAUUUUGAUAAAAAUAUGCAGGAAAAUCAACAAUAUUUUUCAAGGAUUUUUCAGAUUUUUUUUUUAAUUGUUUUUUUGAUAUAUAUAUAUAUAUAUAUAUAUAUAUAAUUUUAAUAAAUAAUAUAUAAUAUUAGGUGGGCUGGGCCGGCCCAACUUACUAAGUCGGCCCACCUUACUAGGCCGGACUCAGCCCCAAAAGGGAUUAGGCCGAUCUCGGCCCAACAACUCUCCUAUCUUUGUUUGGGCCAGACCCGACCCAGACAGCAGGGCUGGGCCAGAACCAUUUUGGCCCACACAAAAAUAUUUCUGGGCCAGAACCCGUCUGGCCUAGAGAAGGGAAAGAACAACAAUGCUGGGCCAGCAUCAGCCUGGGCCAGCCACAUAAACUGAUCGGGGGGGAAUUAUUGUCCCCCUCCCCUCCUCCUGCAUGCAGAACGCUGCAUGCAGGAGGAAAAACAAUUAAAACGCAAACAGUGAGGGGGAAGAGGAGUUACCUGGCACGGAGGAGGCGGUGCAUUGCUGGUCUGUCGGCUUCGCUGGAGGUGCUGUGGUGGAGGUCAGUGGCGGUGUCGUGGCUCGCGGACGGCGGCUCCAAGCGGCUGUUCCGAACGGUUCUGUGCUCUCUCGGUUCUGUGUCUUCUUUUUUGCUUUUAUGUUUCCCUCUUGGUUUCAAGCUUUCCCCUUUUCCUUCCUCUUAGUUUUGGGUUUUGGGUGGCUCUCUCUUAUGUUCGGUUGUUUCUCUCUCCUCCUCUCUCUCUUCGGUUCCUUCUUUUUCAUCCUCCUUUUUCGUCCUCCCGUGUUGGCGUUGGAGGGGGGUAUUUAUAGGGAAAUAGGGAGCGGAGGCGUCCCUAUUGCCAACGUGUGGCUGCAUGGGGAGCGAGGCUUUGCUGCCCUGUCACACCGCCGGGUUGGCUGGGUAGUGGGCGCGGCUGGCAGGCGCGACUCCCUCGAUGCAUCAUCAUGACAGUGUGUGGGGUUUCGGGAGGUGGCAGGGGUGUGGCCUGUGGGGUUGAAAAAAUAACCUUCCCCUGCUGCACGUCCAGGGGAAGGAUAAAGGGGAAACAGUGUCAUUCAAAACGACGUUGUUCUGCUCUUUUUCUUUUUUCUUUUUUUUAACAUGAAAACGGCGUCGUUUUGGGAAAAACGCGCCGUUUCAUUUAAAUAACAAAAGGGGCGCCAACAGGCGUCAAUCUACAAGUCAGCCCUCAAUUAUCUUUUGUUUAUUUCAAUUGCAUCCUUCAAAAAUUCAAUCGCCACCCUCAUAUUUGGCCGCCUUUUCCACUUUCGUCCUUGGUCUCUGAUUCAUGCAAUUUGACCCACAAUUGAUCAAUAAACUUCCAAUUUCUUCUGUUAGGCCCCCCGGAUCAAUCCAAUACAGCCCCCCUAUUUACGCGCCUCUUCCAAUUUGGUCCCUGGUUUCGGAUUUUCUCAAUUAAGUCCCUAAUUGACCAUUAAACUUCAAUAUUUAUGCAAUUAAGCCCCUGAUUUGACCUAAUAAUUUCCUAAAAAUUAUAAUUUGGCCCCAGAACAUUAAUUUCUUCUAAUUAAAGCCCAAAAUUGACUUAAAAAUCAAUUUUCUUGCAAUCAAAUCCUCUAUAAAUUCAAUUAAAAAUCCAAUCAAGUCCAUAAACCUUCAAAUUUGGACUUUUCUCCUAAAAAUUCAAAUUUUCUCUUCCAACGGGGGUCUCAUCAUACAAGAAUAUACUGCCAAAAAUCUGAUCUAUAUAUUUUAAACUUCCUUGACCAAAUUUUUUCCGACCAUCUUCUGAGCGUUUCUGCCUGCUAUUAUUUUUUGAUCUUUUUGGCUAUUUAUUUUAUUUAUUUUUGUGGGGACCCGAAAAUGGGUUACAACAAUAAUGAGGCCAUUCUUCCCCUGGGUAGGUCACCCAUUAGAAUGAGACCACUCUUCCCCUUUUCCACUUGGGUAGGUCACCCGUCAUAAUGAGACCAUCUUUCAUUUUGGGUAGGUCACCUGUUAUAAUGAGACCACACAUAUAUUUUUAUAUUGGUUGUGGUUAAAGGAGAUCGCCAGAUGGGAUCUCAAGUUAACUCAACCACACACAGAGUUUAGCUUUGGUUAAAGGGAAUCGUUAGAUGGAAUUUCAGGUUGACUAAGCUACACACUAACUUUGCUUCGAGUUAAAGGAGAUCGCUAGAUGGGAUCUUAGUUUAACUCAAUCAAAAAGGCAAGUCGCCCGUGAAAAUAGAUUAGCGUGAGUACAUGGGCAGGUCAGCCCUAAAAAUAGGCCAGGUUGAGUGUGUGUGGGCAGGUCGCCCUUGAAAAUAGACCAAUUUUCUUUUAAAAAAGUGAAGUCCUUAGAUGAGUGGAUCACUCAGCCAACAGGGAAGACUUUUUCUUUCUUUCUUUCUUUACAAGCUUACUAUGCCAAACAUUGAGGAGUUUUGCUUCGUAAGCAUUGUAAAGAGAGGGCAUCUGUUGCUACCUAAUUUUUUUACCCAUGUUUUGAUUUUUUUUAAUAUAUAUAUAUAUAUAUAAAACUAAAAAAAAAUAUAUAUAUAUAUAAGGGUUUACAUGUGGCAAUAACAUAGAGCAUCAUGAUUAAUAUUAAGGAAGCAAUAUGUCAAGGAGGUAAUUACUAAAUCAUAAAUAAUUUGGUUUGAUUUGUGCUGGUUAUGAAAAAUAAUCACUACAAUAUAAAAUAUCAUAGAUAUAUAAUUUGAUUCGUACUCGUUAUGGAAAAUAAUUAUUGUAAUAUAAAAUACCAUAGAUAUAUGAUUUGAUUCGUGCUGGUUAUGGAAAAUAAUCAAUGCAAUAUAAAAUACCAUAUAUAUGGGAUUUGUUAGUGCUGGUUAUAGAAGACAAUCUCAGCAAUAAUUAUUGCAAUAUUUCCUUCAAUAGCACACAUAAAGAUUUUCUAUAUAAGUGAACCUCCAGUUAUAAUAAAAAGAAGAGGAGAAAAUUUGGAGGAGAGCAAUUUUAAGACAAAAAAAUUAGGGCAUCCACAAAACCCUAAACCCAUCUCUUUUAAGCCAGGCGACUGCACACCCUCGUUUGAAAAAAAAAAAAAGAGCCACCGCCCAAGGAAGCCCUCUUCCUUCUCCUUUCAGCCGACAAAGCUCCCCUGCACUCUCUUUUCCCUGUCGCCAACCUCCAAACCACGACAGCCACACAUUGUCCCCACACACUUCGCCUCCAGCCGCUACCUCGCAGGUAAGUCUUGCAAACUUUGAGAAUAUAUUCACAUGGUUUCUUGUCUUUAAUUGCGAUUAACUGUGAUGCUUGUGUUUUUGAUAAAAAAAAUAUAAAAAAUGUUUUUGUGUGUUGCAUACGGCCAAUACCCUACCAUGUUUUUUUAAUGUCUUAAAAAAAAAAUACUUGAACUUUCAAAAAUGUGUUUUCGCAUGAAUUUCUUAAACACAACAAAAAAAAUUAUUUUCUUGCAUUUCUAGAUUUUACAACAUGUUUGUAAAACUCCAAAGGGUAUUGGCCAAUAUUCCAAAAAAAUACAAAAAUCUUAUUUUGGGGGGAAUUCAUUUAUUAUUCACCAUUAAUGUUUGGAUAAAGAAAUCCCAAAGGGAUGAAUAUCCAAAAUAUUAUUGGGAAUAACUUGUUAUUAUUCACUAUUAAUAUUUGGAUAAAUAAGCCUUAAGCGGUAAAUAUCCAAAAUAAAUUUCUAGGAAUAAUAAGUCAUCAAACAUCCUUGAAAAAAGCCUUGAUUAUAAUUGAGGACAUUUCAAUUUUACUCCACGGUUUACGAGCCGUGAGAGUAUGAAACACUAAGGCAAAAAUAGGCUUUUAAAGCGCCUUGAAUUUCCUUAGAUUUCUAAAUUUUUUGUCCCUCCUCCUUGUGAUUUACGAGUCGCAAAACUCUUGAAAUACUAAGGGAAAAUUGAGCUUUCGAAGCACAUGGAAUCUCCUUGGAUUACUAUCCUAAUAAAUUUAGUUUGAAUCAAACCUAGGAAAAUUGAUGGAAUUACAAAACAUCAACACCGUAGCAAUUAUAAAGCAAACCAAACACUAAGCAGCUUACCUUAGGUAGGGCGUACUAGGGGUGCUAAUACCUUCCCUUUACGCAACCAGUCCCUUGCCUUAAAAUCUCUGAAAGACCAGUUAGGGUUCCUAGUGACCAAAAUACUAGGUGGCGACUCCAAGGAACCAAUCAAGCAAAAUAAUAAACGAAAAAAUCACCAUCGGACGCAGAGUGGGUGACGUGCGACAAUUCUUUAGGUAAUAGAAGGUGUGAAAGUUUCUAAUUUGUCACUCUCGUAGUAGUAGUACAAAUACAGAGUCUCUCAUAAAGGCAUGUAAUGAUUUCAUAGGAAACCAUAUAUGAAGUAAAAAAUAGUAUGGUAAGACACCAAACGGGUGACAAAAUGAACAUUUUUCAAACAAGUGUUAGGGGAUGCAAAGUCUCUUGAAAUAGAAAAUAUGAAGAAUCAUAGGUUGAGGGAAAAAUCAUUAUUAUUCAAACAAUAAAAAAAAAUCGAAAGUCAAAUUAAAUGCAUAUUCGAAGGUCAAAUUAAAUGAUUAUUGGAUGAAUUUGCAUAAAAAUUAAGUCCAAUGACAUAAUUAAAUUUUUAAUGGGCCAAUUUGAUUUAAUCAUGGGCCAAAUUAAAUUUUAAUUAUGUUUAAGAAUUAAUUUAGGUCCAAUUGAAGGAUUUAAUUAAGUGCAAGGACUUAAUUAUACUUUAUAAAUGGGUCAAAUUAAUUUGGGGGCUUAAUUGGUGAAAAUUAAGUUUGGGAGCUUAAUUUGGACUGAAUUGAAAAGAUUGAAAUUUUAGAUCAAAUUUAAUUUUACCAAGUGAAUUGAGACACAAAAUUGGACCAAUUUGGAAGCCGAAAAAAAAUUUUUGCCUAUAAAUAGCAGCUUUUAACUUAAAGUUAAGGAGGGGAGGUCAUUUUGUAAGGGGUAAUUUUGACACUUUCAAAAGAAAAAAAAAACACAAAAAACCCUAACCCUGAAAAAAAAAACUCUUUCCUUCACACCAACCACCCCCGUUGGUUUUCAUUUUUGGGCUCCCAGAGUCGCUUCCCCGAUUUUGAAUUUUCUUCUUCCUUCAUCUUCCCUGUGUGAAACCGAACCCGUUACUCCCUUUUCUGCUCCCUUCUCCCCAUUUUUCCAAGACUGUAGCCGCAGCCUUCUCCUCCAGAAAAAUCCAACCGGCCCCUUUCCCUUUGGGUUUUUCUUUUUCAUCUCCUCAGUCGGUUCCCCCUCUGGCCAUUUCCUUCUUCAGCCGCUGAUCUCCUUGCCACUCAGACAGCCCCCCUGACCUCUGCCCUCAUUUCCUUCUCCCAGCCGGCGACCCCAACCUUUACAAAGGAGGAAAGCCACGGUUGUUUCUCCAUUUCCUCUCAUUCUCAGCUGAUAGCCCGGUCAUAAACACAGAUUCUUCUUCCCUGAUUUUCUUCUACCUUCAGCCGGACCCUUUGCCAGAAACCCACGGCCUUUGUUCGGCCUCCAGAAGCAGCGAUCAGCCUCGUCUCCACCGGACAACAACAGUCCUUCUUCCUCCAGCGGCGCCGCCCGAUCUGGCACCCGAAGCAGAGGAGAAGAAGAUGAAACUCAGCCGCCACCAACAGGGUUGAAGGCCAUCUUCACCGCCAGCCGCAGCACACCAGUAACGACCCAGCAGCGGUCACAGGGUCACCGAACAGACCCGACGGUCACAGAUCCCCGAUCUGUCCGCCUUCGGUCUCCAGCUCUCCUUCACACCAGAACCAUCUCCGGAGAAGAAGAGAGGAACCACGGACAGGGAACAAAAAAAAUUAAAAGCAGAUCUGCAAAACAUAAGAAAAUAAAAGACUAAAAUCGACUGUGUUGUGCGUUUUCUGUCUUGCAGGUACCGGUGUUCCUCACAGCCAUCUCCAUUUGCUGGCGGCGGCGCGUGAACCCACGCGCCGCCACUGUACACAAUCACAGAAGAUGCCCAGGAUUCCCCAGCACUGUUCCCCAAGCUAUUUUUGUAAUUUGCAAAUGUUGCUGUUUAUAUUUGGCCACUGUUGUGUUUUGAUUUAUUUGAUUGUUUUGUUUUGUUAUGUUGUAAACAUGUAAUUAUGGGUGAGUCAGCAUAAUAAAAAGAGAUGUGUGUGUGUGUGUUUUUUUUAUUAUUAUUUAUUAUAUUGAAUUAUAUAUAAAAAAAAGAAAAAAAAAUGAAUUAAUUGUUUAAUUUGAACAUGCACAAAUAUCUAAGGAUAGAUAAAGUCAUGUUGUAUUUUUCAUGAAAAUGUAAGAACAUGUUUUUAGAGAUAUUCUGGGAAUUAAUAACUGAUUUAUCAAAGCCUUAGAAUUGGGCUAAAAAUUUUAUUUUUAAAAUUACAUCAAGCUGUAAUGGGUUUAGGAUAGACUGAGAUUUGUAAUUCGUCAAAAGAAAAAUACCUUUUUUAAUAUCGGGUAUACGUUUUAUGUAUAAAUUUGUAAUUCCUAAUACUAAAACAAAACAAGAUAAACAUUUUGUUGCUUUUCAAAUUUUGGCCAAUGUUUUCUACACUUUAAUAAACUAAUCAUUAAAGUCAAAAUGUAUGCUGAAACAUUGUUUUUUAGGCGCUAAAGUUUGCUGCCUUUUUCACUUCGGUCCUUGGUCUUGAAUUAGUGCAAUUUGACCCUCAAUUGAGCAAUAAACUUCUAAUUUCUUCAAUUUAGCCCCUCAUCCAGUUUUAAUUACAACCAUUUAUUUACACGCCUUUUCUAAUUUGGUCCUUGGUUUCGGAUUUCUUCAAUUAAGUCCUUAAUUGGCCAUCAAACUUCAAUAUUUACGCAAUUAAGCCUAUGAUUUGACCAAAUUAACUUUCAAAAAUUAUAAUUUGACCUCAGAACUUUAAUCUACUCCAAUUAAAGCCCAAAUUAACUCCAAAAUUAUUUUUUCUUACAAUCAAAACCUCUAUAAAUUCAAUUAAACCUUCAAUAAAUUUAAUUGAGUUCAUAAACAUUUGAUUUUGGAAUUUUCUUCCUCAAAUUGAAUUUUCUUUGUCAACAAGGCUCUCAUCAGUCAAUAAAAUACUGCCAAAUUUUAAUCUUUGUAUUUUUAAACCUCCUCAACCAAUUUUUGAUUAUUUUAUGAGCGCUUUAGCAUCCUUUCCUCACUGCUAUUAUUUUUUUAUAAUAUUUUUGUAUUAUUUUUUUUGUAUUUUAUUAUCUUUUAUGUUGGGACCCAAAACUGGAUUGCAACAGUUGCCCCCCCCUCUUUACAAUGCUUAAGGAGCAAAGAUUUUUUGUAGUAAGUGUUGUAAAGAUAAACAAAAUUGGUUUUCUCAAAAUUUGGUUGACCUUAAACUUCAAUCGGACCCAAAGUCUUGUGUGUGGUUGGGCUAAACUGAGAUUCCUUUCACCAAUCCCCUCUAACCAGAACCAAAAUCCUCUGUGUGGUUCGGAUAGACUGAGAUUCCUUUCGCCAAUCCCCUCUAACCAGAACCAAAAAUCUUGUGUGGUUAGGAUAGAUGAGAUUCCUUUCGCCGAUCCCCUCUAACCUGAACCAAAAUCCUUUGUGUGGUUCGGAUAGACUGAGAUUCCUUUUGCCAAUCCCCUCUAGCCAUAACCAAAAAUCUUAUGUGGUUAGAAUAGACUGAGAUUCCUUUCGCCAAUCCCCUCUAACCAGAACCAAAAUCCUACGUGUUGUUAGGAUAGACUCAGAUUCCUUUCGCUAAUCCCCUCUAACCAAAACCAAAAAUCUUAUGUGGUUAGGAUAGACUGAGAUUCCUUUCAUCAAUCCCCUCUAACCUGAACCAAAAAAUCAUGUGUUCAAAUCCUUUGUUUUUUAAAGAAAGAUGGUCUAUUUUCACGGUCGACCUGCCCACGCACUCACACUUACCCUGGUCUAUUUUCAUGGCCGACCUGCCCACACUUACUCAAAGUCGUCUAUUUUCAGGGGCGACCAGCCUACACACUCACGCUGACACUGUUUUAUUUUCAUGGACGACCUGCCCAAACAUAAAAGGAAAGAGUGGGAUCAUUGUAAAAGGGUGACCUACCCAUGUGAAGGAAUGGUCUCAUUGUAAUGGGUGACCUACCAAGAAAAAAAACUUGGAGAAUGGUUGAAUUGUAAUGGGUGAUCUACCUAGAUGGAAAAAGGAAGAGUGGUCGUGUUGUAAUGGGUGACCUACCCAGGCGAAUGAAUGGUCUCAUUAUAAUGGGUGACCUGCCUAGAUAAAAACAUGGAGAAUUGGUCAAAUUGUAAUGGGUGACCUACCUAAAAAUUGGAUGGCGAGGGCUCAAAGGCGCACUCAAAAGGAGGUAGGGUUAGAAAAUGCACUACCAAAGAGGUGAGGGCUGAAAGGCACACUCAAAAGGAGGUGAGGGCACAAAUGUGCACUCAAAAGAAGGUGAGAGCUCAAAGGCGCACUCAAAAGGAGAUAUGGUUAGAAAACGCACUGCCAAAGGGAUGAGAGCUCAAAGGCGCACUCAAAAUGAAGUAGAGUUAUAAAACACACUACCCAAGAAGUGAUGAUGAAACACUGAUCUAUCAAUGUUGAAAGCAAAUACAUUAUGAUUGAUAUGCAUGUAUACUUACCUGAAAAAUAUAGGCCCCUAUUUCUUCAUAGUGUCUUUCUUUUCUCAAAAGUGGAAUGUUGAUAGUAAACUUCGAUGGCCUUUUCACUCUUGUUUACUCAAGUCACAUCUUGUGAUCUUGACCCCUAGAAAGGUUUUAAUGUCAUCAUACAUCUUUGUCCUUUACCCUUUAUCUUAAAGGUUGCCAAUUUUGCCUGACAUUUUCCUUAGAAAAUGAAUCAUGGAGCCAGCCCUACCAUAUGGUUUUGAUUGCCCCCCAGCUUGAUCAUGCCCCCCAAGUGUUCAUUCGGUUUUACUUUGGGGUGAUGAUAUGUGAGAGUAAGUUUAGGUUUUUUGUAUAAUGAAAUGUUUUCAUGGAAAAUUUUUGGAUCUUCCAAGUUAUUCCAACCAUAAAACUCAUUUUGACAUUGGUUCAAAAUAAACUUAUUCUAAAAAUUUCAAGUGAUUCAUAUGGACAGGUUUCUUGAAGUGAUGAAAGCUUUUUGCUUUUGGUUUAAAGAUGAAGUGACAUCUAGUUGGUCACAAAAGGUUUAAAUUUCAAUUUGAGGGUUAUUGAGAACCAAACCGGUUCAAAGCAUUCAUUUUAUUCGCAUGAAUAAAGAUUUGACCCACACAUGAAAGCACUGCCUACCAAUCCAGAUUGCUUGCCUUUGAUCAGAAAGGGCUUUAUUAGGUAUGUAGUGUAGGCUUUGGCUAUUGGUUACGAAGAAAAGGAUAUUUUGGAGGCUUAAAAGGUGUUUAAGGGAUUUCAAAACUAAGGAUCACUUGUGCUUAUUUCUUGACCUUUUUCUUUUGAAUGUCUUUCCAAAAUGGUUUGUCUUACCCCCCCCCCCAAUGUGGGGUUUGUGAUCUUUCUCUUUGUUUUCUUCAUUUUGUUUGGUUGAGCAUUAUCACCGUAAUUGUUUUUAUAAGAAGCUCAAAUCUUUUGGAUCCUUUGGAUCUUCUUGUUUUUUUUUUUUUUGGGACCAAUCACAACAUUUAUCUUCACUACUUCAUUUGGAUGAUAAUGAAAGACUAAAAAUUACAUGAUCAAUUCCAGUACCCAUCUCAAAAUCAUGCAUUGAGAAUCGAUAGGUCUUGCUUUUGUGCGCAUAUGUAAAGUGAUUUAUUCAUUCAAGUAAAACUCAGCUUUUGAGUCACCUCAUAGUGUUGUUUAUCCUUGUUUUUUUAGUCCUUUUCUUUCAAGUUUUCUAUGUAUAUUUUUACCCUUCUAAGGAAUCACUUGAAUUUCCAGAAUGCAUUUGUUUUAGAUAAAUACUAACAUGAUUUUUGUUUUUGUACUCACUUUGGAGGUCCCAAAAAUAUCUAUGAAAACAUAUGAGAUUAUGCAUGGUUUUGGAGGAAGGAACACCGAAGGAUUUUUAAUGUUGUAGUUUUGUGUGCAAAAGUCAUGCUCAAAAUGUUAUUUGCAUGUAAUAACAAAGAAAAGUAUGAUAUGAACACAGGAAAACACAUGAUCUUAUUUGUCAUAAUCCAAUUUUUAACCAUUUUAUUUUAAUUAUUAUCAUUAUUUUAUUUACUGAAAAGGAAAAAAAUGAUGAAAAAAAAUAAUGUUGGAAAAACAAGUAAAAUGAAAUAAAUGAAGAAUGAAUUAAAAUUUGGGUUAAGGGCAAUAUGAUUGGAAGUUUUGGGGUUUAAUUAUACUUUGGAAUUAAUCUAAUUAAACUUAGAAUUAAUUUAAUUAAUCCAAUCAAGGAUUUAAUUGGAUAAUUGAAAGUUUUGAGACUUAAUUAAGCUUGGAAUUAAUUUAAUUCAUCCAAUCAAGGAUUUAAUUGGAGAAUUGAUAAAGUUUUGAGACUUAAUUAAGCUUGGAAUUAAUUUAAUUAAUCCAACAGGGGCUUAAUUGGAUAAUUGAAAAGUUUUAGACUUAAUUGGACUUUGGAUUAAGAUAAAUCAAUGAAAUCAGGGACUUAAUUAAAGAAAUAUCAAAGUUUGGUGUCUAAUUGGGACACAAUUGCAACAAAUUAAAAUCCAAGGAUUACAUCAAAAAUGGCGCGCAAAUGCAGGGGGCCAAUUACAGUUUAAACUAGGGGCUUAAUUAAAAAACUUUUAAAAAUUCAAGGACCAAAAUGACAAUAACCAUUAAACACCCCGCCCGCCGACACUGUUCAUCUUCCUCAACCGUUCAGCCGCCCGCCGCCAACAUUACACCUGCAAUCAAUGGAUGAAACGACAGUAGAGAGGAGGAAAAAAGCAGAACCGAAAGAGAGGGAGAGGCUAAACCCAGACACAAAAAACCAGUGAAACAAGGAGGAGAGAAAAAAACACAGUAGAGAGGAAAAGGAAAAAAACCGGGGAGAGGAAAAAGAGCAGAGCCGAGGGGCUGAGAGGGAGAAACAAAAAACAGAGCCACAAACGGCAGAAAUAAAGAGUCACAGAACCGAGAGACUGAAACAAGAAAAAAGGGGACGAACCAUUCGCAAAAAAAAGGAGACUGAAAAAUUGAUCUGGUAUUUUGAUUUCAAAAAAAUAAUUUGAUGUUCUUUCAAAAAUGAUAUUUUUAACAUUCUACUUGUAGAAUGACAAUUGAAUCAAGCAACUCCAUCAUUGAGGUGACUAAAUUAUAAACCAAAAAAAAAAAGAAAAAAGAAAAAAGGAAAAAAGAAAAAAGAAAUGAAUAAACACCCUUACCCCAUGACUCUUGAAUCAUGUGUUUUUAAAUGUAUGAAUAAUGGUAUGUAGUGAACUCGUUGCUCAUGACCCUAUGAAAUGUAUCUUUGCAAAGACCAAACCAUCACACUAGAUGAGGCCAAAGUUUAUUGAUCUUAACUGCUUGCACUUGAAAUGAGGAAAGACCAUCUUUGUUAUUCCUUUCACGUUCUGAAAUAAGUACAUCCCUUGCGAUCCCUUUUUAAGCCUGAAUAAUUUUUCUUUCAUGAAAAAAUCCCGACUAGGAUCACACCCCACACUGGGGGGCAAGAGAAAAUUUCAAUGAAAAAAGAGGAAAAGCUGUGAGAAAGCCAAAAAGGCAUAAGAGUUCAAGAAACUCAAAUGCUAGGGGGCAUGCCCAAAUCACUAGAAAACGUGACAUCCAAGAUUAAAGUGAGUAUCCCCUAGCAAAGCAAUAAGAAAAAAGAGAAGAAGCAGCAAAUCAAAGAAGAACGACAAAAGAAAAUGUGAAUGACGUCAAGAGUCAAACUGUUGAUAGUGAUCCUCGGUCUUUGAAACCCUGAAACACUCUUUGAGCCUUAUGAAUCCUUUUCUUUCAUAGCCAAGAACCAUAACCUACGUUACGUGCCUAUAGAAGUCCUUUCUAAUCAAGCAUGCAAGCGACCUAGAACAAUAAACAAUGCUCUCAAAAUGCAAAGAAUACUUUUUCAUAAGGUUCAUGACAUCAAGAAUAAACUACUCAUUAUUAUUCAUGUUGAUAAAAAUGAAUGUUCAAAAAGAGAAUUUUUUUUCUCAUACAAAACCUCGAGCUUUUUCUCGAGCCCUUCACUUUGAAACCAAAGGUCGUCUCAUGAUGUAUUUUUACUGAAGAUCUCAUUGCUAAACACAAGAGCAAAUAACCUCUUUUCCAAGAAAGAAAAUAACCAAGGAGUUGCAAGAUUUCAAAAGCAAAUUGUUUUAGAUUCACAUCGAAAUAAUUUUUGUUUUCAAAAUGCAAGAUUUCAAGAUUCAUUCUAGACCCAUAUUCCUUCACCAAACUGAAAAGGAGAGAAAUGAGAGAAUGGCCUUUUAAAACCAUUAUUUUUCCAAGUCAGUGACAUAACACACUUGGGGGCAAUAACCAGUACAAGGGGCAACAUUGUAUUUAAGGAAAAUCUUCUUCUAGAAAAGAGAGGAACAUUUCCUACAACAAGGCAAGGGGCAUUUUGGUUUAUGAAAGACAGUUUGAUCCUUUCAGCAAGUGACACCGAAGUUUUUUAGCAAUGAGACGAGGAUUAAUAAAUGAUUCUCUCAAAUAUCUAGCAAGCAAGGGGAUUACGUUGGGCAUCACAAAGGUUAAGUUGUGCAAACAAAUAUGGAAAUAGACUUACAUGGGCCAACUCGAGUGGGCUAGAAGCCAAGCGACAAAGAGGACUCAAAUUAGAGGUAGCAAGUCCUCAUCAGUCAAGCAACAAGAAGACUAAGAAGAAAUGGGGGCCUAUAUUUCAAAACAGGUAAAUAUGCAUGCAUAUCAUCUUUGAGACAUUGAACAAUGCGUUUUGCAAAUUUCAUUAGAGAAAAUCCUAACAGAAUCCAUCAAGUGGAAGGCCAACUUGAAAUGGCUAAAGAUCAAAACGGUUGUCAGAUCAUUUUUUAGAAUUUUUCAACAUGGGAAGGCCGCCCAUGAGAAAUAGGCCAUCUGAAAAAUCUCCGUACUUUUCCACCUCCCUCGAGUGCCUUUGAGCACUCACUUUCCUCUUUAAAGUGCCUUUGAGCCCUUGCUUUCCUCUUCGAGCGCCUUGGAGCCCUCGCUUCUCUUCGAGUGCCUUUGAGCACUCACCUUUCUCUAGAGUGCCUUUGAGCCCUCACUUUCUUCUUCAAGUGCCUUUGAGCACUCGCUUUCUCCUUCGACUGCCUUUGAGCACUAGGCUUCCUCUUCGAGCGCCUUUGAGCCCUCGCUUUCCUCUUCGAGCGCCUUUGAGCCCUUGCUUCUCUUCGAGCGCCUUUGAGCCCUCGCUUUCUUCUUCAAGUGCCUUUGAGCACUCGAUUUCUCCUUCGAGUGCCUUUGAGCACUCGCCUUCCUUUACGAGGGCCUCUAAGCCCUCCCUUUCCUUUUCGAGCGCCUCUGAGCACUCGCUUUCCUUUUCGAGUGCCUCUGAGCACUCGCUUUCCUCCUCGAGCGCCUUUGAGCACUCGCUUUUCACGUAGAGCGCCUUUGAGCACUCACUUUCGUCUUCGAGUGCCUUUGAGCACUCGUUUCUUCUUGGAGCGCCUUUGAGCCCUCACUUUCCUCUUCGAGUGCCUUUGAGCACUCCCUUUCCCCUUCGAGUGCCUUUGAGCACUCGCUUUCCUCUUCUAGUGCAUUUGAGCACUCGUUUUCCUUUUGGAGCGCCUUUGAGCCAUCACUUUUCUCUUCGAGAGCCUUUGAGCACUCGCUUUCCUCUUUGAGUGCCUCUAAGCACUAGCUUUCAUCUUUGAGUGCCUUUGAGCCCUCGCUUCUCUUCGAGCGCCUUUGAGCCCUCACUUCUUUUUCGAGUGCCUUUGAGCACUCUCUUUCUCUUUGAGUGCCUCUGAGCACUAGCUUUCAUCUUUGAGUGCCUUUGAGCCUCGCUUCUCUUCGAGCGCCUUUGAGCCCUCACUUCCUUUUCGAGUGCCUUUGAGCACUCUCUUUCUUCUUGGAGCGCCUUUGAGCCCUCACUUUCCUCUUCGAGCGCCUUUGAGCAUUCACUUUCCUUUUGGAGCGCCUUUGAGCCCUCACUUUCCUCUUCGAACGCCUUUGAGCACUCGCUUUCCUCUUUGAGUGCCUUUGAGCCCUAGCUUUCAUCUUUGAGUGCCUUUGAGCCCUCGCUUCUCUUUGAGCGCCUUUGAGCCCUCACUUCCUUUUCGAGUGCCUUUGAGCACUCUCUUUCCUCUUUGAGUGCCUCUGAACACUAGCUUUCAUCUUUGAGUGCCUUUGAGCCCUCGCUUCUCUUCGAGCGCCUUUGAGCCCUCACUUCUUUUUCGAGUGCCUUUGAGCACUCUCUUUCCUCUUUGAGUGCCUCUGAGCACUAGCUUUCAUCUUUGAGUGCCUCUGAGCACUAGCUUUCAUCUUUGAGUGCCUUUGAGCCCUCGCUUCUCUUCGAGCGCCUUUGAGCCCUCACUUCCUUUUCGAGUGCCUUUGAGCACUCUCUUUCUUCUUGGAGCGCCUUUGAGCCCUCACUUUCCUCUUCGAGCGCCUUUGAGCAUUCACUUUCCUUUUGGAGCGCCUUUGAGCCCUCACUUUCCUCUUCGAGCGCCUUUGAGCACUCGCUUUCAUCUUUGAGUGCCUUUGAGCCCUCGCUUCUCUUUGAGCGCCUUUGAGCCCUCACUUCCUUUUCGAGUGCCUUUGAGCACUCUCUUUCCUCUUUGAGUGCCUCUGAACACUAGCUUUCAUCUUUGAGUGCCUUUGAGCCCUCGCUUCUCUUCGAGCGCCUUUGAGCCCUCACUUCCUUUUUGAGUGCCUUUGAGCACUCUCUUUCUUCUUGGAGCGCCUUUGAGCCCUCACUUUCCUCUUCGAGCGCCUUUGAGCACUCGCUUUCCUCUUUGAGUGCCUCUGAGCACUCGUUUUCCUCUUCGAGCGCCUUUGAGCCCUUGCUUCCUUUUCGAGUGCCUUUGAGCACUCGCUUUCUUCUUAGAGUGCCUUUGAGCACUCGUUUUCUUCUUUUCGAGCGCCUUUGAGCCCUCGCUUUUCUUCGAGUGCCUUUGAGUACUCGCUUUUCCCUUCAAGUGCCUUUGAGCAUUCACCUUCCUUCAAGUGACUUUGAGCAUUCGCUUUCUUUUUCGAGCUCGUCUACGAGCUCUUACAUUCUUUUGAGUGCGCCUUCAAGCCCUCAUUUUCUUUUAUUUAUUUAAUUGGGUAGGUUACCCAUUACAAUGAGACCACUUCUAAAAAAAAAUAUACCAAAAAAUAUAUAUAUGUAUAUAUAUACCAAAAAAAAAAAACAACAACAAAAAACAAAAAAAUGGGUCGUCUUGAUUUAUACAUCUGUAAAGGUCGUGUGUCAAUCUAUUGCUUUCAAAGUUUUCAAGGCUAAAAAAAAAUAAAAUUCUUUAUGUAUCUACUUUUCUUUAUAAAUUUACGAGACAAAGCUAAAAGAAAAUGAAAAUUUCCAAUAUCUUUGCAUAGUAAAUAUUAUAAAGAGGGGGCAAUUGUCAUAACCCAAUUUUUAACCAUUUUAUUUUAAUUAUUAUUAUUAUUUUAUUUACUGAAAAGGAAAAAAAUGAUGAAAAAAAAAAUUUGGGUUAAGGGCAAUAUGAUUGGAAGUUUUGGGGUUUAAUUAUACUUAGGAAUUAAUCUAAUUAAACUUGAAAUUAAUUUAAUUAAUUCAAUCAAGGAUUUAAUUGGAUAAUUGAUAAGUUUUGAGACUUAAUUAAGUUUGGAAUUAAUUAGAGAGUCACAGAACCGAGAGACUGAAACAAGAAAAAAGGGGACGAAGAGAGACAGAACCCGGGGAAAAUUUUGGUCCCUCAACCAGCAACAAAUCCUCGUUGCUUUUACCACCAUUGUCUUCGUUUUGAACGGGGAAGACUGGGCAGAGACACAAACAAGGAAGAAAAACUGGGAGGCAAAACUAGGGGAAUUGGACUGAAAAGGAGAAGGAAAAACGGGAGCUGAACUCAGACGCAGAACCAGAAACCGGAGAAAAGAACAGAGGAGAAAACACCGAGGAGCACGGGAACGAACCAUUCGCAGAAUAACAAGAAUGAAGAAGGGCGAAGGAGAAAGGCUCUCAGCAGACCAGGUCAGUAACCUUUUCUUCUUGCAUUAUUUCGGUUGAUUAGCAGUGCAGCAACACGCGUGCGUUAGCGCACGCGUGUUGCUCAGCCCAGCCAGGUCACUGGCUUGGGCUAGUGACCGGCUGGGCUGGGCCCAAAAAAAUUAAAAAAUAGAAAAAACAGAAAAAUUAAAAAAUAUGUAUGCAUGAAUAAAAAUAAUGGAAAUUUACUGGUUUAUUCACUAACGCUAGAGUCAGGAAUAAAAAUACCGGUUUAAAUUUAUAUUAUUUUUAUUCGUUGUAUUUUUAUUUUAUUUAGCUAGAAAAUAAAUUUAUUUUUUUAUUUAAUUAUUGGCGCUAGAGUAGGGAAUUAAAAAAUAUUAAUCUAAUUUUUUUUCGUAGCUACGAAUGUUUACCAACGCCAGGGCUAGAAUUAUUCGAGCGCGAAUAUUCACUGGCGCCAGAGUCAGGAAUAUUAAAAAAAAAAAAAUCAUAGCAUAAGCGAAUAAACAUUUAGUGAUUUAAGACAAAAUUAGCAAUGCAGUCUGCCUCAGGCAGAACGUUUAAGGGGUGAUAAUACCUUCCCUUUUACGUAACCAAUCCCGAGCCAUAGAAUCUUUAUUGACCAAUUAGUGUUCCUAGUGACCAUAAUACUAGGUGGCGACUCCUCAAACAAGACCUUUUCCCCUAAAGAACCAGAUGCCAGAUAUCUAUUCUUUUUCCAUAAUUCAAGAGCAUAAUUUGUGGGUCGCCGCGAUGUUGGGUGCGACAUGAUCUUAUUUCACAAGUAAAGCUCAUUAACAGAGAAAGUCUUGUUCCCAAGCAUUAAACAAAAAUCAAUAACAAGGAAGGCUUCAUUCCUCUAUUUUGGUGAAUUUGUUCUUAGGCUAGCCUGGUCUCAAAAGUUCUGUGCAGAGGACUCAAAGACAAUAUGGAACAACACCACGAUCAAAAUUUAAGUUCUUCAAAAUUCAUGCUAUCAUUUCUGCACCCAUGUUGGACCAUUGAUGCUUUCCAAUUCCCCAAACAUUUCAUCCUAAUAUGCUUCAAACAAGAUUAGAUAGUAGAUUCGUGUUUAUAUUAGGGGCAUCUUCCAAUUCUAUCCACCUGGCCUUGAUUAAUUGCAGAAGCUUUCUCUUGAAGGCUUUGCAGGUAUGGAUGCUAUGCCCAGUAAUACCAGCAUGAUAUUCACAAUUGAGUUCCGACUUGUACCAAUUAUGAUAAGGUGGCUGCACAGGUGUUAGAGGUUCUGGAGCUAUCUGCCCAUUCCUCAAUAGCUUUUGAUACAUCUCAUUCAAGGGUAGCGGUAGUAGAGGUAGUUGUUCUUGAACCCUUUGGUAAUUUCUAAUUUGGCUUUCGGAUUGAAAGUUUUGGGGUUCAUGAUUUUUUUAUUUUGACAAUUCGGGAUGGAGUGUGGUUGUUUUGGGAUGAUUUUUUCCUACCCAGUAGCCAUCUUCAACAUGGUGGACCUCUUUUCUUUCGAAGUCUCUUUUCUCGGUGGGUGCAAAAAUUCUACUACUCUUGACAACUUGCUCUAUGCGUUCACACACUAGCACAACAUUACUGAAUUACGAGGCCGAACUACCCAUCACAUAUUCGUAAUAGGGUGCUUUGAGUGUGCUGGCAAAUAAAGAGACCAUCUCUUUGUCUAGAAGUGGAGGAUGUACUUGAGCAGCUGAUUCCCGCCAUCUUUGAUCAUAUUCCCUUAUGCUUUAUUUGUCUUUUUUCUCUAGAUUGGACAAGUUGGUUCUGUCAAGAGCGAUGUCCAUGUUAUACUUUUACUGCUUGACAAAAGCAUCCACUAGAUCUUUCCAGCUCCAGAUUUUUGUGCUGUCCAAUCUCAUGUACCAGCUCAAUGUUGCCCCACUUAAGUUGUCUUGGAAAAAGUGCAUCAGUAUUUUUUCAUCAUGUACUACUUUUAUUGCAAUAGGACUUGAGGUGAGUUAUGGGGCAUUAUGUUCCACUAUAUUUGAUGAACUCAGGAACACGAAACUUCUUUUAAACAACCACAUUCGGGACCAAACACAUCUCUGAUGCCCGUACCGUGUCAUAUAAGUCUACCCUUUUAAUGACUUGAGUUUUGCUUCUAGUGCCUCUAUCUUAGCUUGAUCAAUGCUAUUAGAUGACUUGGCCUUGUGGGACUCGUUAGCAGAUGCCUCCAUGACUGUCAGGGCUGGUGCAGGUGUCGCUGACUGCACCAAUGUUGGAUUUUGCUAAGGCUCUUGACCAUGUUCACCCAUUCUUUCUUCAGGCUGAACUGUAGUAGGAGCUGGAUUAAAGGUGACCAGUCGAUUAGAAGGACGUUCACCAAAGGUAUUUCUCAGUGUUUGCUCUUGACCAUGAAGUUUAAUUUUCAAAAAAAUUUAAUUUUAAAGGAUAAAGUUAACAAUAAAAAUUAAAUAUUUAACAAAAAAAAAUAAAUCACAAUUCUAAUAAACAAGGGUAAAAAUGAAUUCUGUUUAUUAUAAUUAUAAUAUCAUGUGUAUAUAUUUAAGAUAUUGUGAACAAUAAUGUAAGGUUAUAUGUGGUAAAUAAAUAUGUAGUUAAAUAAUUAAGAGUUAUAAAUGACCUUAAACAAUAGAUUAAUAAAUUAAAAAUAUCUUUAUAUAUAUAUAAAUUAUUAUAUAUACUGUAACACUAAUACAAGAAUAAUUAGGCAUCAAGAAUUUUAUGCCAAGAAAAGAUUCCAAAUAACUUUGGCAUAAUAUGGACCACUUUGCAUCUAACUAUAAAUUUAUAUGAUAUUGGGAAAAUAAUAAAUUAUCUCCUUAGUUUCAAUACCUCAACAAUGACCCGUUAAUUAAUUUUAUAAUGUAAAAUUAAUAACAUAAUCACCACUAUGAAUCAAGGACCAUUACUUUUUUUAUUCUUAGGGACCAGAUUUUGACCCUUCAAAUACAACAAUCAAAGCAUACGCAUUGGUGCACAUCUUGUCUUUGAUUUCAUAUAUUAAAAAAAAAAAUUGUGCCUAUAUAUAUAUAUAUACACAUCCUUGCUCAAUCGGGGCCUACUUUCUUAUAUUUGUUAUUUUUAACGUUAGGGACCAUUUUUUUUUAAUUGUUUUCUAUGGAAUCAGGGACCAGAUUUAGACCCUUCGCUACAAUUUAAAUCUCAUUGAGUAUAUAAUUAGAGAGAUACAAAUAUAUAUCUCCUUCCACUGCCUCAAUAAUGAUAUCAUAAUUGUCUAUUUUGGUUGAGGAGGUGUACCAAGAUUUAAUGGGAAACUUAACGUUAUUAUUACAUUCCAUCCAUUUCAAUCUACAUCAUAAAAAGCUUUGUAAUUGAUAUUUUACCUGCUCCAUGCAAUAAAUAAUAAUUAAAAUUUUAACGACUUCAUCAAACCUUUUUAUGAUAUAGAUUAAAUGAAUGGAAAUUCAAAAUAACGUUUAAAACAUUUUAUAUGAUGAAAAGGGAUAUUAGUUUUUAAAGGAUUUUGGUCGUUUUCCUUUGAAUAUGUCGUUGAUAGUAUUUUCUUGAGACAAAGUAAAUACAAUUUUAGGUUAUUAAUGAAAUUUGAUAAUUUAACUAUGAGUUUCAUUGUAAAACUCAUGUUCUAGAUAACUUACUAGUUACAUGACCCACGCGAUGCUACAGAUCAAUUUUGUUUUCAUAAAAAAUAUAUAAAAAAGUUAAGAUUUAAAAGUGUUAGGCCUUUUCUGCAAAGCUAUACCCAAGAGUCUUGGUUUGGCUACAAUGUCUGGCCUAAGAGUAAUGUUUUUAAUAUUAAUAAUAACAUUAAACUUGCAUGACUCAAGUUUAAGUUGGUUUUGCUGCAAUACCAGAUCCAAUAGCCUUGGAUGUAGGUCUGACUGUAAGGUUGUGUUAUAAAAGUAUGAUAAUUAAAUAGAUUAAUUAAAAAGAAAAAAAAACCAACAUAAAGAAAAAAAACAAAUGAGAAAAAAGAAAAAAAAUCUAAAUCAACUGGGUUAACUCGCCAAAUCAAGUUAACCGGUCAAACUUGGGAUUCGUGUUAUGAAAAUCUGAUAAAUAAAUAGAAAAAAGAUUUAAUAUUAAUGAACUAAAUUUUUUUAAAAAAAGAUUAAUUAAAAAGGAAAAAGAAAAGAGAAAAUACCUACAGGAAGGAAAAAACUAAUGAAGAAAAAGAAAAAAAAUCUGAAUCAACUGGGUUAAAACCAUAAAACCUAGGAUCCGUGUGAUGAAAGCUUGUUAAUUAAACAGAAAAAAAAUUAAUAUUAAGAAACUAUAAACAAAAAAAAUAAACUAAAGGCAUAAAUUGUUUCACUGUAGACUGCACCGUGCUAUUCAUAGUAAAAGGCUUAAAAAGGAAAAAAAAAAAAAAAAAACAAAGGCAUAUGCCUCGGGUUAAUUUUUUUUUCUUGCAUAAAAAAUAUAAAAAAAGGCUAAGAUCUAAGAGUGUUAGGUCUUUCUGCAAAGAUAUAUCCAAACACCUUGGGUCUAGCUGCAACACUUGACCCAAGAAUACUAUUUAUAAUAUCAAUAAUAAUAUUAAACUUACAGGACUUAAGUUUAAGUGAGGCUGACUGCAACAUCGGACCCAAGAGCAUUCGAUUUGGGUCUGGCUAUAAGGUCGUGUCAUAAAAGUGUGAUAAUUAAAUAGAUUAAUUAAAAAAACUAAUGAAGAAAUAUAAAAAAAAUUGAAUUAAAUUGGUUGACCCGUAAAAUCUGGGAUUCGCAUAAUGAAAGUUUGAUAACUAAAUAGAAAACAAAUUUGACGGGUUUACCCAGAAUUAAUUGAGUUAACCCAUCAAACCAAGUUAACCUGUCAAGUCCGAAGUAUAUGUCAUGAAAGUCUAAUAAUUAAAUAUAAAUAAAUGAAAAACUAAAUUAAAGUAAAUGAAAAAAAUUAAUUAAAAAGGAAAAAAAUCCUGGUUAACCCGUCAAACCAGGUUAACUCAUCAAAUCCGGGAUCCGUGUCAUGAAAGUCUGAUAACUAAAUAAAUAAAAAAUUAACAUUAACAAACUAAAUUAAACAAAAAAAUUAAUUAAAAGAAUAAAAUACAUGGGAAAAUACAACAAAUUAAUCAUUUAAAAUGAGUCAUUUUUAAUGAAAAUGAGUGUCCUCCUUCUCUCUCUCAAAUGGAUCGAAAAAGUAAGAUUAAUGUAUAAUUUUAGUUUUUGAUCCUAUAUUUUCCUAGAGACAAAAAAUACAUAUUUAAAUAUAUCGAUUCAUUUUAAAGAUAUUUAGACAUAUGAUAAGAUACUAAAAUAAUUUGUUUUUAUUUUUUAAAAAAUAAUUUUUAAUAUCAGCAUAUAAAAAAGUUUGAAAAACCAAAAUAAAAUUAAUUUAAAGUAAAAAAAUUAAAAAAAUUAAUUUUUUAAAAAAUACUUUCGAAAUGUUAAUAACAAACAGAAUCUUAAUUUCCCUGAUUCUAUUCAGAGUCUCUCUUAAUUUGGAUCGUCCGAAAAAAUUAAAUCCUUGAUGAACUAGUCCGAUCGAUUCAAUUAUAUUAGUGACAACCUCUAUAAACUAUACAUAAGAGUUAUCUUGUGAUGCAAAGAAACAUAACAAUGACCCUAGAAAUAAACUAUCUGUUCGCUGUUUUUGAUUUCACAACUUUAAAAUAUUCAUACUUUUUACUCGCAUUGCUUACCGCAGCACUAUACGUACUACUCAUAAAUAAAGUGUGAAUUCACGUCUCAGCUACGACUGGCAAGUCAUAUGCUUCAAGAUGUGCAUACCGUAUUUUUGGUUACUUAUUUGGAAUUAAAAAAAAAUCAAGGAGAAUAAUGAUAGAAUUAUAUUUGAUUAAAGUACAAAAAGACAUGUGUAUAGCUGUUAAAAUAAAAAAUAAAUGAAGAAAUAUGUAUUGUAUCUACUUUUUUUUCCCGGAAUGGUUACUAAAUACUAUCUAAAAUCACAUUUUCUCAUGCUGUUCAUAUUUAUGAUAGUUGUCAAGGCUUAGUUUAGAGUCUAAUCAGAAAAAAAAAAUAUAAAAAAAGUUAUUGAAUUAUUUUAUUAAUUUGUGAGUUACUAUGUCAAUCUAUGUAAGAUAUUUUUUAAAAUAAGAUAUCGUUUUAUUUUCUUUGCAAGUCUUUUAAAGCUAGCUACUUUUGUAAGUUAUUGAAUUUUUUUAAUUGAUAUUUUUUAUUUGAUUUAUUUUUAAUAUUAAAUUAGUUGAGAAAUGGAUUUUAUAAUUUAAUUUAUAUCUGUUUUUUUAUAAGGUUAUUACAAUUUCAAAUAAAAAUUUAUAUUUAGAGUUUGUGCUUGAUUUUACAAAUAUAUACUUUUUUCUAUAAAUAAAUAAAAAUAGUAUAUAUAGAUAAUAAAAUUAUUAAACUAAGUAGAGUUUAUAAUUUAGAUUAUAAGAUGAUUAAGGUCAAUUCAAAAUUAUACUAUCUUAAUAUUCUUUUUAAAAUUAUAUUUUUUUAAUUAUAUUUUUAUUGAUUAUUUAAAUUAUAUUUUGACCCAUAUAACCCAAUAAUUAUAUCCAAUAUUUUCAUUUGUCUUGUUAUAGGUCGUUGCGAUACUAACAGUAUAAAUUAUGGAUGGGUAAAACACUAAAUUGUGCACCAUCUCAAACACACUCCAGCAAGAGAGAGCGACGACAACAAUCAUGGGUUCUGAAACAGUGCCAAAAAUUCCUGUUGUUCAUUUGUCCAAGGAAAACUUCAAGCCUGGCUCUAGUUCCUGGCUGGCGGCUUGCAAUGAUAUCCGGCGAGCACUUGAGGAAUACAGCUUCUUUGAAGUAGCACACAGCGAACCUUCAAUGGAACUUUACAGGGAAAUUAUAUCGGUGCUAGAGGAAUUGUUCAAUCUCCCUGAUGAAACAAAAACCAGAAAUACACAUCCUAAGAUCGGCCACGGUUACAUGGGGAAAAUCUCUGGCUUCCCUGAGGGCUUGGGGAUCGAGUAUGCAACAAAGAAAGAUGAAUGUCAAAAAUUUACAAGCUUUAUGUGGCCCGAUGGAAAUGAAAGAUUCUGGUAAGAUCUGUAUAUUAUUAUAUUAUGAUUAAAUAUUUCUCUUUUUCCUUUUCCUUCGACCGAUCAUCUGAAUCCUUGCAUAUAGCUGUAUCCUCCUAUGCUAACAUUAAUGUGAGCUUAAUUAGUAUGAUUUACUUGCUUUUUGUUUGUAUCUUUAGUGAUGUCAUCCACUCUUAUACGAAGAUAGCAUCUGAACUAAAUCAGAUGCUGGUAAGGAUGUUGUUUGAAAGCUAUGGAUUGAAGAAAGACUACGAGCCUCUCCUAAACUCAACAAAUUACCUCCUACGUCUGUUGAAAUAUGGAAGAUCACUCGGGGAGACGAAUGUUGGUUUUAAGGCUCAUAUGGACAAGACUUUCUUCACUCUACUUUAUCAAAAUCCUGUUAACGGUUUAGAGAUAAGAACCAAGGAAGGAGAGUGGAUUACGUACGAGCCUUCUUCACCAACUUCAUUUGCUGUCAUAGCUGGUGAUGUAUGCAUGGUGGGUUUAUCCUAUUUCUUAUUUUACAAGAUUCCUAUUUCAAACGAUACACACACACACACUUAAUGGAUUCAUAACUCUUGAUCAUGAAUUGUGUUGUUUGAAUAGAAAAUCUUGGUUGGUGUUGUGUAGGCAUGGAGCAAUGACAGGAUAAAAUCUUCUUACCAUCGAGUCGUUGUAAGCAGCGAAGAAGACAGAUAUGCACUGGGGUUAUUCACAUUCCUAGAUGGGGUGGUGCAAACAGCAGAGGAGCUAGUAGAUGAUGAACACCCAUUACAGUACAAGCCCUUUGAACACCUGAAGCUUCUUGAUUUCUAUGAAUCAUCCAAUGAUCCGGAUAAACGUGACAUCAAUAUCAUGAAAACCUUCUGUGGUGUUUAAUACUCUAAAAUGGAAUGGGAUUAUGCUGCUUGACAUGUCUCCUUUUCUUUUGUUUUUCCUCGGUCGAUUGCUUUAAAACCAGUCUUAUUUGUACCUCUUGGGUGAAUCUCUAAAAUGUAAUGGGAUUAUGCUGCUUGACAUGUCUCCUUUUCUUUUGUUUUUCCUCGGUCGAUUGUUUUCAACCAGUCUUAUUUGUAUCUCUUGGGUGAAUGAAGUGUUUAAUUAUUUGGUGAAGGCCAGGAGUCAUGUUCUACCUUGGGAUU